GCGUACAGGCGUGACAGUGAAUAGUGUGAAUUUUCACCUUAGGGGGCGCUAUGGAGCCAUUUUGCAUUUUCUUGUUUGGGCGACUUCGGAAUAUCAAAUUUUUCACCAGGCCCGGUCGUCCUGCCAAAUUUCAUGAGUUUUCGCCAGUGGGAAGUGGGCCAUUUUCCAGUUCAAAGGGGAGGAAAAAUAAUAACUAGGGCCCCGUUGGGGCACUGGCGGGCCCGAGCCGUGUCACGCCGCCCCCAGCGCGACCGCCUCCCCCACCCGAUCGCGUCACACUCAAGGUCCAAAGAUGGUGUGCGCACUUGUUUGUGGUCAAUUACCAUUAUAAUGAACGGGAGGCGCAGUUUCUACCAAAGCGCUCGCUGCAGAAAAACUCCAUGUCCUAUUUGAAAAAAGUCUGGACCAUGAGUGAGGGCACAAACACAGCUAAGAUAUAUCCAAAUGGCAAGUUGCUCCUCCUUUCGCUUUUGCCGAGAGAGCAGUGCGUUUGAGCCAUUGAAUGAUGAACAGGAAAAACUUGACUUUAUUCUCCUGCCAUGGGGGGCGCUCUUUUAACGAGAAAAAACUCCUUCACAAAUGUGUUGAUGGCUGGACAUUGCAUCAUCCUAGAAAACAUGGAGGCCAGUGAGGACAAAAAUAAAAAGUUAUAAGACUUUUAAAUAUGUGGAUUUUAGGGUUAUCUUUGGCGCCCCCUAGAACCUAAACCGUGGGGUGCAGCGUCAUGAUUUGAAUAACUUUUAAUGGCCAUGGGGUGUAGAUUGGCCUGAGCAAAUGUGGUGCCGGUGGAACAAAAGCCUUCGGAGGAGUUAGCGAAAUUCCAAUGUGUGCGAAUCUGCAAAAAAUGCAAAAUAACCCUUUAACCGUACAUUUUACAGAUACGUGGCCAUUGACUUUUUCGAAGAUCUUAUUGAAAUACACGUGUAUGUAAAAUUUUGUGUCAAUACGACAAAACAUACAGGCGUAGCACUCAACAAUGUGUAUUUUCACCUUAGUGGACAAGAAAAAAUGGACUUUUUUCUCCUGCCAUGGGGGGGCGCUCUUUUGGGGAGUAAAAAUUCCUUCACAAAUGUGUUGAUGGCUGGACAUUGCAUCAUCCUAGAAAACUUGGAGGCCAGUGGGGACAAAAAUAAAAAGUUAUAAGACUUUUAAAUAUGUGGAUUUUACGGUUAUCUUUGGCGCCCCCUAGAACCUAAACCGUGGGGUGCAGCGUCAUGAUUUGAAUAACUUUUAAUGGCCAUGGGGUGUAGAUUGGCCUGAGCAAAUGUGGUGCCGGUGGAACGAAAGCCUUCGGAGGAGUUAGCGAAAUUCCAAUGUGUGCGGAUCGGCAAAAAAUGCGGAAUAACCCUUUAACCGUACAUGUAACAGAUACGCGCGCAUUGACUUUUUCGUAGAUCUUAUUGAGAUACAUGUGUGUGUCAAUUUUUGUGUCAUUUUGCCAAAGCGUACAGGUGUUACACUCAACAAUGUGUAUUUUCACCUUAGAGGACAAGAAAAAAUGGACUUUUUUCUCCUGCCAUGGGGGGGCGCUCUUUUGGGGAGUAAAAAUUCCUUCACAAAUGUGUUGAUGGCUGGACAUUGCAUCAUCCUAGAAAACUUGGAGGCCAGUGAGGGCAAAAAUAAAAAGUUAUAAGACUUUUAAAUAUGUGGAUCUUAGGGUUAUCUUUGGCGCCCCCUAGAACCUAAACCGUGGGGUGCAGCGUCAUGAUUUGAAUAACUUUUAAUGGCCAUGGGGUGUAGAUUGGCCUGAGCAAAUGUGGUGCCGGUGGAACGAAAGCCUUCGGAGGAGUUAGCGAAAUUCCAAUGUGUGCGGAUCGGCAAAAAAUGCGAAAUAACCCUUUAACCGUACAUUUGACAGAUACGCCCGCACUGACUUUUUUGUAGAUCUUAUUGAGAUACAUGUGUGUGUCAAUUUUUGUGUCAUUUUGACAAAGCGUACAGGCGUGACAGUGAAUAGUGUGAAUUUUCACCUUAGGGGGCGCUAUGGAGCCAUUUUGCAUUUUCUUGUUUGGGCGACUUCGGAAUAUCAAAUUUUUCACCAGGCCCGGUCGUCCUGCCAAAUUUCAUGAGUUUUUGCCAGUGGGAAGUGGGCCAUUUUCCAGUUCAAAGGGGAGGAAAAAUAAUAAUAAUAAUAAUAAUAACAAAAGAAGGAAACUACAGGAACAAGAGGGCUCUCGCAGCUGCUUAGCAGCUACGCUCGGGCCCUAAUAAUAACAAAAGAAGGAAACUACAGGAACAAGAGGGCUCUCGCAGCUGCUCAGCAGCUACGCUCGGGCCCUAAAAAACCACUUGGGGAAUAAUAGGGCUCUCGCAGCUGCUUAGCAGCUACGCUCGGGCCCUAACUAGGACCCCGUUGGGGCACUGGCGGGCCCGAGCCGUGUGCCCCCCCCCCCCCCCCCCCCCAACGUGCUGCCUCCCCGUCCCAUUUGUGUCCUCUGGCCAUCGCCCUCUCUGGUAACGCCCAUCACUGCAAAGACCCUUUUCCUUCAUCGGCGUUUGCUGUUCUUCCUGCCAGUGCGUGUUGCUUUCACUUACACUUGCCACAGCCAGCCUCGUGAGUGCCUAGCCUAUUCGAUAUCACUGUCGAUAUCAUUCGCUUACGUUCUUCCUGCAACAUGAGAAGGGAGGGAGGGACUCUCAGCAGGGAUGCAGUCUGGGACACGUAGUUGCAAACCUAACGACUUUGUUGUUAGAUUCAAUGACUUUUCAGACCCCCUAACGACUUUUUUUUAGAAAGAAAGGGACUUUUAUCGACUUCUUCUGGAGUUUAGAGACUCUGACAUGAAGCAGGCUUUCCUUACUGAGGAGUUAGCAACGCUGCUAAGGGUGCAGAGCCACACAUGCGCUCAGAGCUCUGCAUGGGAGACUGAAGCUGACAGAGCUGCAGCAGUUAGCAGGUUUCACCCUCAGAGACCACCAGGGGUUCAUGUUGAGGCAUUUUAAUUUUUUUUUUUUUUGUGCCAUAGACACUGUCAGCACAAUCUGCAGUUACACUAACAAAAAUGCUGCAAAAAACAAAGAAUUAUGGAAAAAUUACACAUGGACUGACAUAGAGGAGGAUCUACACAAGUUUUUUACAUCAUGUUUUACAUCAUGCAUCAUUUACAUCAUGUUUUUUUGUAGUGGCAUAAAUAAAAAGUGACAUUUGUGAGACUAUACAGUGUUUUGUAAAUAAUUUUACAAAGAACGCCUGGGCCAUUGCCUGCAUUUUGAUGUAAAUAGAGGUAAAUCACUAUGUUCUUUGUUAAAAAUUUGCAUAUGUUUAGAAGUUUACAAUUUUUAUUUGAAGUUUAAGUUUUAAAAACAGUUCAUCACACAUAUUUGUGGUUUUCACAGUAAAAAUGUUACUUUUUUCCACUCGGAUUUUAUGUUUUGUGUGUGAAUUUGGGUCCAUUGUGUAAAUUCAGUAUGUCAACAUGAUAAAAUAACUGUAAAUUCGAACAGGUGAGGUUGUGCUGAAAAAAAAAUGAUACCAGGCAAGGCACGUGAUUGUCAAAUUUUGUGUCAAUAUGACAAAGCGUAUAGGCGUGAAUCUCAACAAUAUGUAUUUUCACCUUAGGGGACAAGAAAAAAUGGACUUUUUUCUCCUGCCAUGGGGGGGCGCUCUUUUGGGGAGUAAAAAUUCCUUCACAAAUGUGUUGAUGGCUGGACAUUGCAUCAUCCUAGAAAACUUGGAGGCCAGUGAGGACAAAAAUAAAAAGUUAUAAGACUUUUAAAUAUGUGGAUUUUAGGGUUGUCUUUGGCGCCCCCAAGAACCUAAACCGUGGGGUGCAGCGUCAUGAUUUGAAUAACUUUUAAUGGCCAUGGGGUGUAGAUUGGCCUGAGCAAAUGUGGUGCCGGUGGACAGAAAGCCUUCGGAGGAGUUAGCGAAAUUCCAAUGUGUGCGGAUCGGCAAAAAAUGCGGAAUAACCCUUUAACCGUACAUUUGACAGAUACGCGCGCAUUGACUUUUUCGUAGAUCUUAUUGAGUUACAUGUGUGUGUCAAUUUUUGUGUCAUUUUGACAAAGCGUAUAGGCGUGACACUCAACAAUGUGUAUUUUCACCUUAGGGGACAAGAAAAAAUGGACUUUUUUCUCCUGCCAUGGGGGGGCGCUCUUUUGGGGAGUAAAAAUUCCUUCACAAAUGUGUUGAUGGCUGGACAUUGCAUCAUCCUAGAAAACUUGGAGGCCAGUGAGGACAAAAAUAAAAAGUUAUAAGACUUUUAAAUAUGUGGAUUUUAGUGUUAUCUUUGGCGCCCCCUAGAACCUAAACCUUGGGGUGCAGCGUCAUGAUUUUGAUAACUUUUAAUGGCCACGGGGUGUAGAUUGGCCUGAGCAAAUGUGGUGCCGGUGGAACGAAAGCCUUCGGAGGAGUUAGCGAAAUUCCAAUGUGUGCGGAUCGGCAAAAAAUGCGAAAUAACCCUUUAACCGUAAUUUUGACAGAUACGGCCGCACUGACUUUUUUGUAGAUCUUAUUGAGAUACAUAUGUGUGUCAAUUUUUGUGUCAAUAUGACAAAGCGUACAGGCGUGACAGUCAAUAGUGUGAAUUUCCACCUUAGGGGGCGCUAUGGAGCCAUUUUGCAUUUUAUUGUUUGGGCGACUUCAGAAUAUCAAAUUUUUCACCAGGCCCGGUCGUCCUGCCAAAUUUCAUGAGUUUUCGCCAGUGGGAAGUGGGCCAUUUUCCAGUUCAAAGGGGAGGAAAAAGAAGAAAGAAAGAAAGAACUAGGGCCCCGUUGGGGCACUGGCGGGCCCGAGCUGUGUCGCGCUGCCCCCCCCCCAACGCGCUGCCUCCCCGUCCCAUUCGCUACCUCUGGCCAUCGCCCUCUCUGGUAACGCCCAUCACUGCAAAGACCCUUUCCUUCAUCAGCGUUUGCUGUUCUUCCUGCCAGUGCGUGUUGCUUUCACUUACACUUGCCACAGCCAGCCUCGUGAGUGCCUAGCCUAUUGGAUAUCACUGUCAUCUACACAGGACAGUCAUAACCUUUCUAUUAAUACUUGUUUUUUAAUUUCACAUUAAUUUCAAUAUUGUAUAAAUGACUGGAAAAAACUUGAGCCCCUGCCCCUGUAUAAUCAUGUGCACGUCCCUGUUCUAGCUCCAAGGUGAAUCUUCACUGCUCAUGUUCUCCUCAGAAGUAGUCACCUCACUCCCCUCAGGUGACUAUACACAUGCACCAACUGCCUGCUUCAGGUUUGGAUGGAGCUUCAUGGUUGUCUUUUGGAGAAAUGAGCAGUCAAGUUGUGUUUGAAAUUUGAUUUUUUUCAGGGGCAAAAAGGGGCCUCUGCAUUCUAGUCAAAUAUGUAAAUAGCAUGUUUUUGCAGGUGCUAAAAAAAAGACUCUGAGUGUGUGUGUGUGUAUAUCCUGCAGUACUCUGAGAAGAAUAAUAAGCAUAUUUCUGAGGUGAAUUUUGAAGAUUCAUCUGAGAGUUAGGAGGGCUGAUCAUUCCCUUACCUUUUAGAUGUCUGUCUAUGUCUGUUUUUGUGUGAUAAUGAAAGAAUCCCAACUCAAAAAGGCUCUGUUGAUGUUUUUUUUUUUGUUGUUGUUCAUUCAUAUUCAAACCACUAUUUUAUAUCACUGCUAAUACGCCAAGACCAUUUUAUGGAAUUUAGCUUUAUUAUUUCUAUACAUUUUGCAAGGAAAGAAACCAAGGCCUUCACUAAAAUUUCCAUAAACUUUAGGAAAGGACCUCUGGUUGUUUAACGGGGUCAUUACUGCAAAAACAUAUUCUUCCUAAAUUUUGAAGGUCAAACCUUAGAUCCAUUAGGUUUAAAUAGAAAAAGCAUUAAAAUAUGUUAGGAUUAUAGCAUAUGACAAAUAUGUGCCUUUCAGUGGCCACAACUACUUUGUCUGCUGGCUCUGCAGUCGAUUGACGCUCCCCAGCGUUCAAGUCACAUUACAUAUUUAACCGGAUGUAGCUGCAAGACGGAGCCUCGUUGACUCUCCGUUUCAACUUAUCUCAAAAGUGAGGACCUCAACCUAUAUACCAGUUUUUAAAUUGUGUUGAUAGGCCAAAUAAAACCAGAGUUAUGAUAAAUUAUGUCCGCGAUACUUUUUUUCUGCUUAUUUUGAUCACGUUCGGCGCUCGAUCCCGCUGUAUGAGACAGGAAAACAUAGCAUGCAGACAUUAGCGACAGCUCUUACAGGCGGAAAAGGCUUGCCAAAGGAAAAAAAAAACACACCACAACAUCUCUCCUAUUGGUGGAAAACUUCACCACAACAACCAAUCCAAAAUUAUAUGGUGAGUGAUUGACAAGGGGCGGGCGCUUACGUUCUUCCUGCAACAUGAGAAGGGAGGGAGGGACUCUCAGCAGGGAUGCAGUCUGGGACACGUAGUUGCAAACCUAGCGACUUUGUUGUUAGAUUCAAUGACUUUUCAGACCCCCUAACGACUUUUUUUUAGAAAGAAAGGGACUUUUAUCGACUUCUUCUGGAGUUUAGAGACUCUGACAUGAAGCAGGCUUUCCUUACUGAGGAGUUAGCAACGCUGCUAAGGGUGCAGAGCCACACAUGCGCUCCGAGCUCUGCAUGGGAGACUGAAGCUGACAGAGCUGCAGCAGUUAGCAGGUUUCACCCUCAGAGACCACCAGGGGUUCAUGUUGAGGCAUUUUAAUUUUUUUUUUUUUGUGCCAUAGACACUGUCAGCACAAUCUGCAGUUACACUAACAAAAAUGCUGCAAAAAACAAAGAAUUAUGGAAAAAUUACACAUGGACUGACAUAGAGGAGGAUCUACACAAGUUUUUUACAUCAUGUUUUACAUCAUGCAUCAUUUACAUCAUGUUUUUUUGUAGUGGCAUAAAUAAAAAGUGACAUUUGUGAGACUAUACAGUGUUUUGUAAAUAAUUUUACAAAGAACGCCUGGGCCAUUGCCUGCAUUUUGAUGUAAAUAGAGGUAAAUAACUAUGUUCUUUGUUAAAAAUUUGCAUAUGUUUUGAAGUUUACAAUUUUUAUUUGAAGUUUAAGUUUUAAAAACAGUUCAUCACACAUAAUUGUGGUUUAAUUUCACAUUAAUUUCCAUAUUGUAUAAAUGACUGGAAAAAACUUGAGCCCCUGCCCCUGUAUAAUCAUGUGCACGUCCCUGUUCUAGCUCCAAGGUGAAUCUUCACUGCUCAUGUUCUCCUCAGAAAUAGUCACCUCACUCCCCUCAGGUUACUGUACACAUGCACCAACUAUCUGCUUCAGGUUUGAAAUGGAGCUUCAUGGUUGUCUUUUGGAGAAAUGAACAGUCAAGUUGUGUUUGAAAUUUGAUUUUUUUCAGGGGCAAAAGGAAGCCUCUGCAUUCUUGUCAAAUAUGUAAACAGCAUGUUUUUGCAGGUGCUAAAAAACAGACUCUGAGUGUGUGUGUGUGUCUGUGUGUGUGUGUGUGUGUGUGUGUGUGUGUAUGUUGGCGUGUGUGUAUAUGUGUGUGUAUCCUGCAGUACUCUGUACUCCUGCAGUGGCCAAAAAGACUUUUAAGAAUGUGGAUUUUUGGGUCAUCUUUGGCGCCCCCUAGAACUGCAGUACUCUGUACUCCUGCAGUGGCCAAAAUGACUUUUAAGAAUGUGGAUUUUUGGGUCAUCUUUGGCGCCCCCUAGAACGUAAACCGUGGGGUGCAGCGUCAUGAUUUUUACAACUUUGAAUGGGCAUGGGGUGUAGAUUGCCCUGAGCAAAUUUGGUAUCGGUGGGACGAAAGCCUUAGGAGGAGAUAGCCACAUUCCAAUGUGUGCGAAUCGGCAAAAAAUGCAAAAUAGCCCUUUAACCGUACAUUAUACAGAUACGCGCUCUUUGACUUUUUCGUAGAUCUAAUUGAGAUACACAUGAUUGUCAAUUUUUGUGUCAAUAUGACAAAGCGUUCAGGCGUGACACUCAACAAUGUGUAUUUUUAUGUAAGGGGACAAGAAAAAAUUGACUUUUUUCUCCUACCAUGGGGGGCGCUCUUUUGGGGAGUAAAAAUUCCUUCACAAAUGUGUUGAUGGCUGGACAUUGCAUCAUCCUAGAAAACUUGGAGGCCAGUGAGGACAAAAAUAAAAAGUUAUAAAACAUUUAAGAAUGUGGAUUUUUGGGUUAUUUUUGGCGCCCCCUAGAACCUAAACCAUGGGGUGCAGCAUCAUGAUUUGAAUAACUUUUAAUGGCCAUGGGGUGUAGAUUGGCCUGAGCAAAUGUGGUGCCGGUGGAACGAAAGCCUUCGGAGGAGUUAGCGAAAUUCCAAUGUGUGCGGAUCGGCAAAAAAUGCGGAAUAACCCUUUAACUGUACAUUUGACAGAUACGCGCGCAUGGACUUUUUUGUAGAUCUUAUUGAGUUACAUGUGUGUGUCAAUUUUUGUGUCAUUUUGACAAAGCGUAUAGGCGUGACACUCAACAAUGUGUAUUUUCACCUUAGGGGACAAGAAAAAAUGGACUUUUUUCUCCUGCCAUGGGGGGGCUCUUUUGGGGAGUAAAAAUUCCUUCACAAAUGUGUUGAUGGCUGGACAUUGCAUCAUCCUAGAAAACUUGGAGGCCAGUGAGGACAAAAAUAAAAAGUUAUAAGACUUUUAAAUAUGUGGAUUUUAGUGUUAUCUUUGGCGCCCCCUAGAACCUAAACCUUGGGGUGCAGCGUCAUGAUUUUGAUAACUUUUAAUGGCCACGGGGUGUAGAUUGGCCUGAGCAAAUGUGGUGCCGGUGGAACGAAAGCCUUCGGAGGAGUUAGCGAAAUUCCAAUGUGUGCGGAUCGGCAAAAAAUGCGAAAUAACCCUUUAACCGUAAUUUUGACAGAUACGGCCGCACUGGCUUUUUUGUAGAUCUUAUUGAGAUACAUGUGUGUGUCAAUUUUUGUGUCAAUAUGACAAAGCGUACAGGCGUGACAGUCAAUAGUGUGAAUUUCCACCUUAGGGGGCGCUAUGGAGCCAUUUUGCAUUUUAUUGUUUUGGCGACUUCAGAAUAUCGAAUUUUUCACCAGGCCCUGUCGUCCUGCCAAAUUUCAUGAGUUUUCGCCAGUGGGAAGUGGGCCAUUUUCCAGUUCAAAGGGGAGGAAAAAGAAAAAAGAAAGAAAGAAACAAAGAAAAACCACUUGGGGAAUAAUAGGGCCUACGCCCGGCUGCUCUGCAGCUGGCUCGGGCCCUAACUAGGACCCCGUUGGGGCACUGGCGGGCCCGAGCCGUGUCGCCCCCCCCCCCCCCCCCAACGUGCUUCCUCCCCGUCCCAUUUGUGUCCUCUGGCCAUCGCCCUCUCUGGUAACGCCCAUCACUGCAAAGACCCUUUUCCUUCAUCGGCGUUUGCUGUUCUUCCUGCCAGUGCGUGUUGCUUUCACUUACACUUGCCACAGCCAGCCUCGUGAGUGCCUAGCCUAUUGGAUAUCACUGUCACCUACACAGGACAGUCAUUACCUUUCUAUUAAUACUUUGUGUUUUAAUUUCACAUUAAUUUCCAUAUUGUAUAAACGACUGGAAAAAACUUGAGCCCCUGCCCCUGUAUAAUCAUGUGCAUGUCUCUGUUCUAGCACCAAGGUGAAUCUUCACUGCUCAUGUUCUCCUCAGAAGCACUCACCUCACUCCCCUCAGGUUAUUGUACACAUGCACCAACUGCCUGCUUCAGGUUUGGAUGGAGCUUCAUGGUUGUCUUUUGGAGAAAUGACCAGUCAAGUUGUGUUUGAAAUUUGAUUUUUUUCAGGGGCAAAAGGAGCCUCUGCAUUCUUGUCAAAUAUGUAAAUAGCAUGUUUUUGCAGGUGCUAAAAACCAGACUCUGAUGUGUGUGUGUGUGUGUGUGUGUGUGUGUGUGUGUGUGUGUGUGUGUGUGUGUGUGUGUGUGUGUGCGUGUGUGUGUGUCUGUGUGUGCGUUCAAGUCACAUGACAUAUUUAACCGGAUGUAGCUGCAAGACGGAGCCUCGUUGACUCUCCGUUUCAACUUAUCUCAAAAGUGAGGACCUCAACCUAUAUACCAGUUUUUAAAUUGUGUUGAUAGGCCAAAUAAAACCAAAGUUAUGAUAAAUUAUGUCCGCGAUACUUUUUUUCUGCUUAUUUUGAUCACGUUCGGCGCUCGAUCGCGCUGUAUGAGACAGGAAAACAUAGCAUGCAGACAUUAGCGACAGGUCUUACAGGCGGAAAAGGCUUGCCAAAAGAAAAAAAAAACACACCACAACAUCUCUCCUAUUGGUGGAAAACUUCACCACAACAACCAAUCCAAAAUUAUAUGGUGACUGAAUGACAAGGGGUGGGCGCUUACGUUCUUCCUGCAACAUGAGAAGGGAGGGAGGGACUCUCAGCAGGGAUGCAGUCUGGGACACGUAGUUGCAAACCUAGCGACUUUGUUGUUAGAUUCAAUGACUUUUCAGACCCCCUAACGACUUUUUUUAGAAAGAAAGGGACUUUUAUCGACUUCUUCUGGAGUUUAGAGACUCUGACAUGAAGCAGGCUUUCCUUACUGAGGAGUUAGCAACGCUGCUAAGGGUGCAGAGCCACACAUGCGCUCAGAGCUCUGCAUGGGAGACUGAAGCUGACAGAGCUGCAGCAGUUAGCAGGUUUCACCCUCAGAGACCACCAGGGGUUCAUGUUGAGGAAUUUUAAUUUUUUUCUUUUUUGUGCCAUAGACACUGUCAGCACAAUCUGCAGUUACACUAACAAAAAUGCUGCAAAAAACAAAGAAUUAUGGAAAAAUUACACAUGGACUGACAUAGAGGAGGAUCUACACAAGUUUUUUACAUCAUGUUUUACAUCAUGCAUCAUUUACAUCAUGUUUUUUUGUAGUGGCAUAAAUAAAAAGUGACAUUUGUGAGACUAUACAGUGUUUUGUAAAUAAUUUUACAAAGAACGCCUGGGCCAUUGCCUGCAUUUUGAUGUAAAUAGAGGUAAAUCACUAUGUUCUUUGUUAAAAAUUUGCAUAUGUUUUGAAGUUUACAAUUUUUAUUUGAAGUUUAAGUUUUAAAAACAGUUCAUCACACCUAUUUGUGGUUUUCACAGUAAAAAUGUUACUUUUUCCACUCGGAUUUUAUGUUUUGUGUGUGAAUUUGGGUCCAUUGUGUAAAUUCAGUAUGUCAACAUGAUAAAAUAACUGUAAAUUCGCACAGGUGAGGUUGUGCUGAAAAAAAUGAUACCAGGCAAGGCACGUGAUUGUCAAAUUUUGUGUCAAUAUGACAAAGCGUAUAGGCGUGAAUCUCAACAAUAUGUAUUUUCACCUUAGGGGACAAGAAAAAAUGGACUUUUUUCUCCUGCCAUGGGGAGGCGCUCUUUUGGGGAGUAAAAAUUCCUUCACAAAUGUGUUGAUGGCUGGACAUUGCAUCAUCCUAGAAAACUUGGAGGCCAGUGAGGACAAAAAUAAAAAGUUAUAAGACUUUUAAAUAUGUGGAUUUUAGGGUUGUCUUUGGCGCCCCCUAGAACCUAAACCGUGGGGUGCAGCGUCAUGAUUUGAAUAACUUUUAAUGGCCAUGGGGUGUAGAUUGGCCUGAGCAAAUGUGGUGCCGGUGGACAGAAAGCCUUCGGAGGAGUUAGCGAAAUUCCAAUGUGUGCGGAUCGGCAAAAAAUGCGGAAUAACCCUUUAACCGUACAUUUGACAGAUACGCGCGCAUUGACUUUUUCGUAGAUCUUAUUGAGAUACACGUGAUUGUCAAAUUUUGUGUCAAUAUGACAAAGCGUAUAGGCGUGACACUCAACAAUGUGUAUUUUCACCUUAGGGGACAAGAAAAAAUGGACUUUUUUCUCCUGCCAUGGGGGGGCGCUCUUUUGGGGAGUAAAAAUUCCUUCACAAAUGUGUUGAUGGCUGGACAUUGCAUCAUCCUAGAAAACUUGGAGGCCAGUGAGGACAAAAUUAAAAAGUUAUAAGACUUUUAAAUAUGUGGAUUUUAGUGUUAUCUUUGGCGCCCCCUAGAACCUAAACCUUGGGGUGCAGCGUCAUGAUUUUGAUAACUUUUAAUGGCCACGGGGUGUAGAUUGGCCUGAGCAAAUGUGGUGCCGGUGGAACGAAAGCCUUCGGAGGAGUUAGCGAAAUUCCAAUGUGUGCGGAUCGGCAAAAAAUGCGAAAUAACCCUUUAACCGUAAUUUUGACAGAUACGGCCGCACUGACUUUUUUGUAGAUCUUAUUGAGAUACAUAUGUGUGUCAAUUUUUGUGUCAAUAUGACAAAGCGUACAGGCGUGACAGUCAAUAGUGUGAAUUUUCACCUUAGGGGGCGCUAUGGAGCCAUUUUGCAUUUUAUUGUUUGGGCGACUUCAGAAUAUCAAAUUUUUCACCAGGCCCGGUCGUCCUGCCAAAUUUCAUGAGUUUUCGCCAGUGGGAAGUGGGCCAUUUUCCAGUUCAAAGGGGAGGAAAAAGAAACUAGGGCCCCGGUGGGGCACUGUCGGGCCCGAGCCGCGUCGCGCCGCCCCCAGCGCGACCGCCUCCCCCUCCCGAUCGCAUCACACUCAAGGUCCAAAGAUGGUGUCCGCACUUGUCUGUGGUCAUUUCCCAUUAUAAUGAAUGGGAGGCGCAGUUUCUACAAAAACGGUCGCUGCAGACAAACUACAUGUCCUAUUUGAAAAAAGUCUGGACCAUGAGUGAGGGCACAAACACAGCUAGGAUAUAUCCAAAUGGCAAGUUGCUCCUCCUUACGGUGUUGCCAGGAGAGCGAUGCGAUUGAGCCAUUGAGCGAUGGGCAGGGUUAACUGGACUUUUUCUCCUGCCUUGGUGGGGGGGGAUGUGGAUUCUUUUAAGAAUGUGGAUAUUUGGGUCAUCUUUGGCGCCCCCUAGAACGUAAACCAUGGGGUGCAGCGGCAUGAUUUUUACAACUUUGAAUGGCCAUGGGAUGUAGAUCGGCUAGAGCAAAUUUGGUGUUGGUGGGAAGAAAGCUUUAGGAGGAGUUAGCCACAUUCCAAUGUGUGCGAAUCGGCAAAAAAUGCGAAACAGCCCUUUAACCGUACAUUUUACAGAUACGUGCCCAUUGACUUUUUCGUAGAUCUUAUUGAGAUACACGUGUGUGUCAAAUUUUGUGUCAUUUUGACAAAGCGUAUAGGCGUGACAGUCAACAAUGUGUUAUUUCACCUUAGGGGACAAGAAAAAAUGGACUUUUUUCUCCUGCCAUGGGGGGGGCGCUCUUUUCGGGAGUAAAAAUUCCUUCACAAAUGUGUUGAUGGCUGGACAUUGCAUCAUCCUAGAAAACUUGGAGGCCAGUGAGUACAAAAAUAAAAAGUUAUAAGACUAUUAAGAAUGUGGAUUUUUGGGUUAUCUUUGGCGCCCCCUAGAACCUAAACUGUGGAGUGCAGCGUCAUGAUUUGUACAACUUUUAAUGGCCAUGGGGUGUAGAUUGGCCUGAGCAAAUUUGGUGGCGGUGGAACUAAAGCCUUAGGAGGAGUUAGCGAAAUUCCAAUGUGUGCGGAUCGGGAAAAAAUGCGAAAUAACCCUUUAACCGUACAUUUUACAGAUACGUGCCCAUUGACUUUUUCGUAGAUCUUAUUGAGAUACACGUGAUUGUCAAAUUUUGGGUCAAUAUGACAAAGUGUAUAGGCGUGACACUCAACAAUGUGUAUUUUCACCUUAGGGGACAAGAAAAAAUGGACUUUUUUCUCCUGCCAUGUGGGGGCGCUCUUUUGGGGAGUAAAAAUUCCUUCACAAAUGUGUUGAUGGCUGGACAUUGCAUCAUCCUAGAGAACUUGGAGGCCAGUGAGGACAAAAAUAAAAAGUUAUAAGACUUUUAAGACUGUGGAUUUUUGGGUUAUCUUUGGCGCCCCCUAGAACGUAAACUGUGGGGUGCAGCGUCAUGAUUUGUACAACUUUGAAUGGCCAUGGGGUGUAGAUUGGCCUGAGCAAAUGUGGUGCCGGUGGAACGAAUGCCUUCGGAGGAGUUAGCGAAAUUCCAAUGUGUGCAGAUCGGCAAAAAAUGCGAAAUAACCCUCUAACCGUACAUUUCACAGAUGCGCCCGCGCUGACUUUUUCGUAGACCGUAUUGAGAUACACGUGUGUGUCAAUUUUUGUGUCAAUAUGACAAAGCGUACAGGCGUGACAGUCAAUAGUGUGAAUUUUCGCCUUAGGGGGCGCUAUGGAGCCAUUUUGCAUUUUAUUGUUUGGGCGACUUCAGAAUAUCGAAUUUUUCACCAGGCCCGGUCGUCCUGCCAAAUUUCAUGAGUUUUCGCCAGUGGGAAGUGGGCCAUUUUCCAGUUUAAAGCGGAGGAAAAAUAAUAACUAGGGCCCCGGUGGGGCACUGUCGGGCCCGAGCCGCGUCGCGCCACCCCCAGUGCGUCCGCCUCCCCCUCCCGAUCGCGUCACACUCAAGGUCCAAAGAUGGUGUGCGCACUUGUCUGUGGUCAUUUCCCAUUAUAAUGAAUGGAGGCGCAGUUUCUACCAAAACACUCGCUGCAGACAAACUACAUGUCCUAUUUGAAAAAAGUCUGGACCAUGAGUGAGGGCACAAACACAGCUAGGAUAUAUCCAAAUGGCAAGUUGCUCCUCCUUACGGUGUUGCUGGGAGAGCGAUGCGAUUGAGCCAUUGACCGAUGGGCAGGGUUAACUUGACUUUUUCUCCUGCCUUCUUUUAAGAAUGUGGAUAUUUGGGUCAUCUUUGGCGCCCCCUAGAACGUAAACCGUGGGGAGCAGCGUCAUGAUUUCUACAACUUUGAAUGGCCAUGGGAUGUAGAUCGGCUUGAGCAAAUUUGGUGUUGGUGGGACGAAAGCCUUAGGAGGAGUUAGCCACAUUCCAAUGUGUGCGAAUCGGCAAAAAAUGCGAAAUAGCUCUUUAACCGUACAUUUUACAGAUACGUGCCCAUUGACUUUUUCGUAGAUCUUAUUGAGAUACACGUGUGUGUCAAAUUUUGUGUCAUUUUGACAAAGUGUAUAGGCGUGACAGUCAACAAUGUGUUUUUUCACCUUAGGGGACAAGAAAAAAUGGACUCUUUUCUCCUGCCAUGGGGGGGCGCUCUUUUUCGGGAGUAAAAAUUCCUUUACAAAUGUGUUGAUGGCUGGACAUUGCAUCAUCCUAGAAAACUUGGAGGCCAGUGAGGAAAAAAAUAAAAAGUUAUAACACUUUUAAGAAUGUGGAUUUUUUGGUUAUCUUUGGCGCCCCCUAGAACCUAAACCGUGGGGUGCAGCGUCAUGAUUUGUACAACUUUCGAUGGCCAUGGGGUGUAGAUUGGCCUGAGCAAAUGUGGUGCCGGUGGAACGAAAGCCUUCGCAGGAGUUAGCGAAAUUUCAAUGUGUGCGGAUCGGCAAAAAAUGCGAAAUAACCCUUUAACCGUACAUUUGACAGAUACGCCCGCACUGACUUUUUUGUAGAUCUUAUUGAGAUACAUGUGUGUGUCAAUUUUUGUGUCAAAAUGGCAAAGCGUACAGGCGUGACAGUCAACAGUGUGAAUUUCCACCUUAGGGGGCGCUAUGGAGCCAUUUUGCAUUUUAUUGUUUGGGCGACUUCAGAAUAUCGAAUUUUUCACCAGGCCCGGUCGUCCUGCCAAAUUUCAUGAGUUUUCGCCAGUGGGAAGUGGGCCAUUUUCCAGUUUAAAGCGGAGGAAAAAUAAUAACUAGGGCCCCGUUGGGGCACUGGCGGGCCCGAGCUGUGUCACGCCGCCCCCAACACGACCGCCUCUCCCUCCCGAUCGCGUCACACUCAAGGUUCAACGAUGGUGUGCGCACUUGUCUGUGGUCAUUUACCAUUAUAAUGAAUGGGAGGCGCAGUUUUUACCAAAACGCUUGCUGCAGACAAACUACAUGUCCUAUUUGAAAAAAGUCUGGACCAUGAGUGAGGGCACAAACACAGCUAGGAUAUAUCCAAAUGGCAAGUUCCUCCUCCUUUCGUUUUUUUCCGAGAGAGCGAUGUGUUUGAGCCAUUGAGCGAUGGGCAGGAAAAACUUGACUUUUUCUCCUGCCAUGGGGGGGCACUCUUUUAGGGAGAAAAAAUUCCUUCACAAAUGUGUUGAUGGCUAGACAUUGCAUCAUCCUAGAAAACUUUGAAGCCAGUGAGGACAAAAAUGAAAAGUUAUAAGACUUUUAAGAAUGUGGAUUUUUGGGUUAUCUUUGGCGACCCCUAGAACGUAAACCGUGGGGUGCAGCAUCAUGAUUUGUACAACUUUUAAUGGCCAUGGGGUGUAGAUUGGCCUGAGCAAAUUUGGUGCCGGUGGAACGAAAGCUUUAGGAGGAGUUAGCCACAUUCCAAUGUGUGCGAAUCAACCAAAAAUGCGAAAUAGCCCUUUAACCGUACAUUUUGCAGACACGUGCACAUUGACUUUUUCGUAGAUCUUAUUGAGAUACACGUGAUUAUCAAAUUUUGUUUCAAUAUGACAAAGCGUACAGGCGUGACACUCAACAAUGUGUAUUUUCACCUUAUAGGACAAGAAAAAAUGGCCUUUUUUCUCCUGCCAUGGGGGGGCGCUCUUUUGGGGAGUAAAAAUUCCUUCACAAAUGUGUUGAUGGCUGGACAUUGCAUCAUCCUAGAGAACUUGGAGGCCAGUGAGGACAAAAAUAAAAAGUUAUAACACUUUUAAGAAUAUGGAUAUUUGGGUCAUCUUUGGCGCCCCCUAGAACGUAAACCGUGGGGUGCAGCGUCAUGAUUUUUACAACUUUGAAUGGCCAUGGGGUGUAGAUUGGCCUGAGCAAAUUUGGUGUCAGUGGGACGAAAGCUGUAGGACGAGUUAGCCACAUUCCAAUGUGUGCGAAUCAGCAAAAAAUGCAAAAUAGCCCUUUAACCGUACAUUUUACAGAUACGUGCCCAUUGACUUUUUCGUAGAUCUUAUUGAGAUACAUGUGUGUGUCAAUUUUUGUGUCAAUAUGACAAAGCGUACAGGCGUGACAGUCAACAAUGUGUAUUUUCACCUUAGGGGACAAGAAAAAAUGGACUUUUUUCUCCUGCCAUGUGGGGGCGCUCUUUUGGGGAGUAAAAAUUCCUUCACAAAUGUGUUGAUGGCUGGACAUUGCAUCAUCCUAGAGAACUUGGAGGCCAGUGAGGAAAAAAAUAAAAAGUUAUAACACUUUUAAGAAUGUGGAUUUUUGGUUAUCUUUGGCGCCCCCUAGAACCUAAACCGUGGGGUGCAGCGUCAUGAUUUGUACAACUUUCGAUGGCCAUGGGGUGUAGAUUGGCCUGAGCAAAUGUGGUGCCGGUGGAACGAAAGCCUUCGGAGGAGUUAGCGAAAUUUCAAUGUGUGCGGAUCGGCAAAAAAUGCGAAAUAACCCUUUAACCGUACAUUUGACAGAUACGCCCGCACUGACUUUUUUGUAGAUCUUAUUGAGAUACAUGUGUGUGUCAAUUUUUGUGUCAAAAUGGCAAAGCGUACAGGCGUGACAGUCAACAGUGUGAAUUUCCACCUUAGGGGGCGCUAUGGAGCCAUUUUGCAUUUUAUUGUUUGGGCGACUUCAGAAUAUCGAAUUUUUCACCAGGCCCGGUCGUCCUGCCAAAUUUCAUGAGUCUCCGCCAGUGGGAAGUGGGCCAUUUUCCAGUUUAAAGCGGAGGAAAAAUAAUAACUAGGGCCCCGUUGGGGCACUGGCGGGCCCGAGCUGUGUCACGCCGCCCCCAACACGACCGCCUCUCCCUCCCGAUCGCGUCACACUCAAGGUUCAACGAUGGUGUGCGCACUUGUCUGUGGUCAUUUACCAUUAUAAUGAAUGGGAGGCGCAGUUUUUACCAAAACGCUUGCUGCAGACAAACUACAUGUCCUAUUUGAAAAAAGUCUGGACCAUGAGUGAGGGCACAAACACAGCUAGGAUAUAUCCAAAUGGCAAGUUCCUCCUCCUUUCGUUUUUUUCCGAGAGAGCGAUGUGUUUGAGCCAUUGAGCGAUGGGCAGGAAAAACUUGACUUUUUCUCCUGCCAUGGGGGGGCACUCUUUUAGGGAGAAAAAUUCCUUCACAAAUGUGUUGAUGGCUAGACAUUGCAUCAUCCUAGAAAACUUUGAAGCCAGUGAGGACAAAAAUGAAAAGUUAUAAGACUUUUAAGAAUGUGGAUUUUUGGGUUAUCUUUGGCGACCCCUAGAACGUAAACCGUGGGGUGCAGCAUCAUGAUUUGUACAACUUUUAAUGGCCAUGGGGUGUAGAUUGGCCUGAGCAAAUUUGGUGCCGGUGGAACGAAAGCUUUAGGAGGAGUUAGCCACAUUCCAAUGUGUGCGAAUCAACCAAAAAUGCGAAAUAGCCCUUUAACCGUACAUUUUGCAGACACGUGCACAUUGACUUUUUCGUAGAUCUUAUUGAGAUACACGUGAUUAUCAAAUUUUGUUUCAAUAUGACAAAGCGUACAGGCGUGACACUCAACAAUGUGUAUUUUCACCUUAUAGGACAAGAAAAAAUGGCCUUUUUUCUCCUGCCAUGGGGGGGCGCUCUUUUGGGGAGUAAAAAUUCCUUCACAAAUGUGUUGAUGGCUGGACAUUGCAUCAUCCUAGAGAACUUGGAGGCCAGUGAGGACAAAAAUAAAAAGUUAUAAGACUUUUAAGAAUGUGGAUUUUUGGGUUAUCUUUGGCGCCCCCUACAACCUAAACCGUGGGGUGCAGCGUCAUGAUUUGUACAACUUUGAAUGGCCAUGGGGUGUAGAUUGGCCUGAGCAAAUUUGGUGCCGGUGGAACGAAAGCCUUCGGAGGAGUUAGCGAAAUUCCAAUGUGUGUGGAUCGGCAAAAAAUGCGAAAUAACCCUUUAACCGUACAUUUGACAGAUACACCCACACUGACUUUUUUGUAGAUCGUAUUGAGAUACAUGUGUGUGUCAAUUUUUGUGUCAAUAUGACAAAGCGUACAGGCGUGACAGUCAAUAGUGUGAAUUUCCACCUUAGGGGGCGCUAUGGAGCCAUUUUGCAUUUUAUUGUUUGGGCGACUUCAGAAUAUCGAAUUUUUCACCAGGCCCGGUCAUCCUGCCAAAUGUCAUGAGUUUUCGCCAGUGGGAAGUGGGCCAUUUUCCCCUUCAAAGGGGAGGAAAAAUAAGAAGAAAGAAAGAAAGAAAGAAAGAAAGAAGAAAGAAAAACUCAUCAGGAAUAAUAGGGCUCUACGCCCGGCUGCUCUGCAGCUGGCUCGGGCCCUAAUAAUAACAAAAGAAGAAUCCAUCAGGAACAAGAGGGCUCUCGCAGCUGCUUAGCAGCUACGCUCGGGCCCUAAAAAGAAAGAAAGAAACAAAGAAAAACCACUUGGGGAAUAAUAGGGCCUACGCCCGGCUGCUCUGCAGCUGGCUCGGGCCCUAAAGAAAGAAACAAAGAAAAACCACUUGGGGAAUAAUAGGGCCUACGCCCGGCUGCUCUGCAGCUGGCUCGGGCCCUAAAGAAGGAAACAUGCAGGAACAAGAGGGCUCUCGCAGCUGCUUAGCAGCUACGCUCGGGCCCUAAUAAUAACAAAAGAAGGAAACAUGCAGGAACAAGAGGGCUCUCGCAGCUGCUUAGCAGCUACGCUCGGGCCCUAAAAACCUAUACAGGAACUAGGACCCCGUUGGGGCACUGGCGGGCCCGAGCUGUGUCGCGUCCCCCCCCCAACGCGCUGCCUCCCCGUCCCAUUUGUGUCCUCUGGCCAUCGCCCUCUCUGGUAACGCCCAUCACUGCAAAGACCCUUUUCCUUCAUCGGCGUUUGCUGUUCUUCCUGCCAGUGCGUGUUGCUUUCACUUACACUUGCCACAGCCAGCCUCGUGAGUGCCUAGCCUAUUGGAUAUCACUGUCACCUACACAGGACAGUCAUUACCUUUCUAUUAAUACUUUGUUUUUUAAUUUCACAUUAAUUUCCAUAUUGUAUAAACAACUGGAAAAAACUUGAGCCCCUGCCCCUGUAUAAUCAUGUGCACGUCUCUGUUCUAGCUCUAAGGUGAAUCUUCACUGCUCAUGUUCUCCUCAGAAGCACUCACCUCACUCCCCUCAGGUUACUGUACACAUGCACCAACUGCCUGCUUCAGGUUUGGAUGGAGCUUCAUGGUUGUCUUUUGGAGAAAUGACCAGUCAAGUUGUGUUUGAAAUUUGAUUUUUUUCAGGGGCAAAAGGAGCCUCUGCAUUCUUGUCAAAUAUGUAAAUAGCAUGUUUUUGCAGGUGCUAAAAACCAGACUCUGAGUGUGUGUGUGUGCGUGUGUGUGUGUGUCUGUGUGUGUGUGUGUGUGUGUGUGUGCGUUCAAGUCACAUGACAUAUUUAACCGGAUGUAGCUGCAAGACAGAGCCUCGUUGACUCUCCGUUUCAAUUUAUCUCAAAAGUGAGGACCUCAACCUAUAUACCAGUUUUUAAAUUGUGUUGAUAGGCCAAAUAAAACCAGAGUUAUGAUAAAUUAUGUCCGCGAUACUUGUUUUCUGCUUAUUUUGAUCACGUUCGGCGCUCGAUCGCGCUGUAUGAGACAAGAAAACAUAGCAUGCAGACAUUAGCGACAGGUCUUACAGGCGGAAAAGGCUUGCCAAAGGAAAAAAAAAACACACCACAACAUCUCUCCUAUUGGUGGAAAACUUCACCACAACAACCAAUCUAAAAUUAUAUGGUGACUGAUUGACAAGGGGCGGGAACUUACGUUCUUCCUGCAAUAUGAGAAGGGAGGGAGGGACUCUCAGCAGGGAUGCAGUCUGGGACACGUAGUUGCAAACCUAGCGACUUUGUUGUUAGAUUCAAUGACUUUUCAGACCCCCUAACGACUUUUUUAGAAAGAAAGUGACUUUUAUCGACUUCUUCUGGAGUUUAGAGACUCUGACAUGAAGCAGGCUUUCCUUACUGAGGAGUUAGCAACACUGCUAAGGGUGCAGAGCCACACAUGCGCUCCGAGCUCUGCAUGGGAGACUGAAGCUGACAGAGCUGCAGCAGUUAGCAGGUUUCACCCUCAGAGACCACCAGGGGUUCAUGUUGAGGCAUUUUCAGUUUUUUUUUUUUUUUUUUGCCAUAGACACUGUCAGCACAAUCUGCAGUUACACUAACAAAAAUGCUGCAAAAAACAAAGAAUUAUGGAAAAAUUACACAUGGACUGACAUAGAGGAGGAUCUACACAAGUUUUUUACAUCAUGUUUUACAUCAUGCAUCAUUUACAUCAUGUUUUUUUGUAGUGGCAUAAAUAAAAAGUGACAUUUGUGAGACUAUACAGUGUUUUGUAAAUAAUUUUACAAAGAACACCUGGGCCAUUGCCUGCAUUUUGAUGUCAAUAGAGGUAAAUUACUAUGUUCUUUGUUAAAAAUUUGCAUAUGUUUUGAAGUUUACAAUUUUUAUUUGAAGUUUAAGUUUUAAAAACAGUUCAUCACACAUAUUUGUGGUUUUCACAGUAAAAACGUUACUUUUUUCCACUCGGAUUUUAUGUUUUUUGUGUGAAUUUGGGUCCAAUGUGUAAAUAUAGUAUGUCAAAAUGAUAAAAUAACUGUAAAUUGACACAGGUGAGGUUGUGCUGAAAAAAAUGAUACCAGGCAAGGCAAGGUAAAAAUUUUGUAAGAGGAAAUAUAAAGGUAAAAUCUAAAGUAGUCAAAAACGGCCAAUAGUGACUCACAGACUCCACAGACAAGUCCCUUUGGCGCCACUCAGUGGGCAAAACUACUUUGUCUACUGUAAUGUAUAUUUGGGUCAUCUUUGGCGCCCCCUAAAACGUAAACCGUGGGGUGCAGCGUCAUGAUUUUUACAACUUUGAAUGGCCAUGGGGUGUAGAUUGGCCUGAGCAAAUUUGGUGUCAGUGGGACGAAGGCCUUAGGAGGAGUUAGCGAAAUUCCAAUGUGUGCGAAUUGGCAAAAAAUGCAAAAUAGCCCUUUUACCGUACAUUAUACAGAUACGCGCUCUUUGACUUUUUCGUAGAUCUAAUUGAGAUACACAUGAUUGUCAAUUUUUGUGUCAUUUUGCCAAAGCGUACAGGCGUGACAGUCAACAAUGUGUAUUUUCACCUUAGGGGACAAGAAAAAAUGGACUUUUUUCUCCUGCCAUGGGGGGGCGCUCUUUUAGGGAGUAAAAAUUCCUUCACAAAUGUGUUGAUGGCUGGACAUUGCAUCAUCCUAGAAAACUUGGAGGCCAGUGAGGACAAAAAUAAAAAGUUAAAAGACUUUUAAAAAUGUGGAUUUUUGGGUUAUCUUUGGCGCCCCCUAGAACGUAAACCGUGGGGUGCAGCGUCAUGAUUUGAAUAACUUUUAAUGGCCAUGGGGUGUAAUUUGGCCUGAGCAAAUGUGGUGCCGGUGGAACGAAAGCCUUCGGAGGAGUUAGCGAAAUUCCAAUGUGUGCGAAUCGGCAAAAAAUGCGGAAUAACCCUUUAACCGUACAUUAGACAGAUACGCGCGCAUGGACUUUUUUGUAGAUCUUAUUGAGAUACAUGUGUGUGUCAAUUUUUGUGUCAUUUUGCCAAAGCGUACAGGCGUGACACUCAACAAUGUGUAUUUUCACCUUAGGGGACAAGAAAAAAUGGACUUUUUUCUCCUGCCAUGGGGGGGCGCUCUUUUGGGGAGUAAAAAUUCCUUCACAAAUGUGUUGAUGGCUGGACAUUGCAUCAUCCUAGAAAACUUGGAGGCCAGUGAGGGCAAAAAUAAAAAGUUAUAAGACUUUUAAAAAUGUGGAUUUUAGGGUUAUCUUUGGCGCCCCCUAGAACCUAAACCGUGGGGUGCAGCGUCAUGAUUUGAAUAACUUUUAAUGGCCAUGGGGUGUAGAUUGGCCUGAGCAAAUGUGGUGCCGGUGGAACGAAAGCCUUCGGAGGAGUUAGCGAAAUUCCAAUGUGUGCGAAUCUGCAAAAAAUGCGAAAUAGCCCUUUAGUUGUACAUUGAUCAUGACAGACAAACGCGCAUUGACUUUUUCGUAGAUCUUAUUGAGAUACACGUGUGUGUCAAUUUUUGUGUCAAUAUGACAAAGUGUACAGGCGUAACACUCAAUAGUGUGAAUUUUCACCUUAGGGGGCGCUAUGGAGCCAUUUUGCAUAUUAUUUUUUCGGCAACUUCAGAAUAUCGAAUUUUUCACCAGGCCCGGUCGUCCUGCCAAAUUUCAUGAGUUUUCGCCAGUGGGAAGUGGGCCAUUUUCCCCUUCAAAGGGGAGGAAAAAUAAGAAAGAAAGAAAAACCUAUACAGGAAUAAUAGGGCCUACGCCACUGCGUUGCAGGUGGCUCGGGCCCUAAGAAAGAAACAAAGAAGAACCCAUACAGGAAUAAUAGGGCUCUACGCCCGGCUGCUCUGCAGCUGGCUCGGGCCCUAAGAAAGAAAGAAUGAAGAAAGAAAAACUCAUACAGGAAUAAUAGGGCCUAUGCCACUGCGUUGCAGGUGGCUCGGGCCCUAAAGAAAGAAAGAAGAAAGAAGAACCCAUCGAGGAACAAGAGGGCUCUCGCAGCUGCUUAGCAGCUACGCUCGGGCCCUAAGAAAGAAAGAACUAGGGCCCCGUUGGGGCACUGGCGGGCCCGAGCCGUGUCGCCAUGAUUGUGUGACCUUGGUAUCGGCUACUUGGGAAGUUCCAUUGUCGUGGCAAAGCUUUGUUUGCGUGCUGUGCUCAACCACUUGUUUUCUAUCGAUGUGUAAGUAAACGACUUUCUUUUCUUACACAAUGACACACUCAUACUUAUCAUUCACUGCUACUGAUGUGCUCUGUUAGGAUGCAUGCAGGAAACCUGAUGAAUGAAGAAAUGCCCAGACUAGCCAACAUCUUAAUAAAUUAUGGGGUAUGACAUCACUUGAAUGGUUUCAUUGGACUAUGCUUUCAUUAUUCUAAUUCUGUAAUAAAAAGAAAUGUUGUCCAAAAAGACUGUUGUUGUUAUUUCUUCUAAUAAUGAACAUAGUUAAUAUAAUAAACAUUCAAUAUGUGCUCAUUACACACGUGUACAUUCUUUGAUGAUCCGUGAAGCAGAGCGUGAGAGACAGUAGGAGCAGCCGAACUGUAUCUCAAACUGUGACGUCACAGUCAAGGGCUGUGUUUCAUUUUAGAGAUUGCAGCGGGCUAAGUGCACUUCUGCACUGUUGAAUGGUGCAUUGAAGUGUGCAUGACAUCACGACGGUGCGUAUGGUGUCUCAUUUGGCAUGAGAUGGUAAGAAAUGUUAAGUGCGCUUAGCAUCUUUCAAGCGUGCAUGCUUUAGUUUUGUUGGUUUUCCAGAAUGCUGUGUGUGUUGCUGCACAGCUGUGCAUUUCAGGUGAGAGGCUGGAUUUGCUUGGAAACACAGUGUAGCUUAAAAGAAAGCACAAGAAAUCCAAAAACAGCAGAGAGUCAACUCAGGCUAUCUGAGAUCAUGAUGUCUGAGCUCACGAAAAUCUGUAAACCAAACACUAUAGAUUUAGAGACAAAUGAUCUGCUCUGAUUUAACAAUUAAAAACAUUAGAAAUAAGAAAGCUGACACAACUACAGCAGAGGAUUAGGACAUCAUUUAUGUUUUUUAUUCUUUUAAGGUUUAGAGAUUAAAGUUGUAUAUUUAGGAGAAAGAAGUCAUAAGGUAUUGAAAGUCAUAAAGGUGCCUUUGUGAAGGGGGAAAUUACUGAAGCUGGUUAUGUGCAGGUUUAUUUGUGGAUGUAGGAAACAAUCAAACUGAUGAUGAUCAACAUUUGUGAUGCAGAGGGAGUUGAGUUUCGAUGAGCACCACGUUUCAGGCAUUGGUGGUAAUUUAUGCCUGCAGUGACAUCAACACCUUAUUUUGGCAUAUGGAUUCAUAUCAUAAAGUAAAGUUCAAUGUCAUUCACAGAUAUUCACGGCUGCAUUGACAGAUGUAUCCUUAGCAUAUUAAUUUCUGCCUUACAAAAGCUGCAUUUCCUUCAAGUACACCAGUUUUUUUCCCUGUAAGAAAGAUGUGUUUCUCAGAUAUUCUUUUUUAAGUCUUUAUAUGUAUGACAAAGUGAUGCUGAUGUGCCAGAGGAUGAAGUAUCUCCUUUUUUGUGAAACAUUUUCUGAAGCACAGUUCUUUCAAAUGCUUCAUGGCCCUAAUUUUAACAAGUCUUCUCUGAAAUAACAGGGAACCUUAUGAUUUUAUUCUCAUAAAUUAAUGACGUUACGAUCGUAAAUGCACGACUUAAAUUUUGAAGUCUUUUAGGUCUUAAAUUUCAAUAUGGCCAUCAUACUCUUUCAUACAAUGUAUGAGAAAAAAGUCAUUAAUUUAUGACAAAAAAGUUUUAAAGUUGCGUUUUAUAAUAGAGGACACUUGUUAAAAUUAGGGCCAUGAAGCAUUUGAAGGAAUUGUGAUUCAGUAUAGGUUUCACAAACAAGGAGAUACUUCAUCCUCUGUCACAUCAGCAUAACAUUGGUAUAAGUAUAAAGACUUAAAAAAGAAUAUAUAAGAACUAGUGGUUUUUCACGUGGAAAAAAAAAACAGGUGUACUAGAAGGAAAUUGCUAGUUUUGUGGAGUCAGAAAUGAAUAUGCUGAGGGUAUAUUUGUUCAUGCAGUUGUAAAUAUUCGUGGAUGACAUUGGGCUUUAGUUUAUGAUAUGAAUCCAUAUGCCAUAAGGUGUUGUUGUCUCUGCAGGUGUAGGCUAGUGAUGGUGUCAGAGAUGUGGUACUCCUCUGAGCUUGACCCACUCUGGAUCACAAAUGUUGAUCAUCAUCAGUUUGAUUGUCUGUACAGAAACCACUAGAAGUCUGUGAAUUACCCGCUGAUACAUCGAGCGGUAACCCUGCAGAUGGCCAGGUUCAGUCAUUUCCUCCUCCACAAAAGUAGUUUUAUGACUUUAUAUACCUUAUGACUUUAUUGUGCUAAAUUUACAAUUUUAAUAUCUAAAUCUUAAAAGAAAGACAACUUAAUGUUGUCUUGAUACUCUGCUGUAGUUGUGUCAGCCUUUUUUAUUUAUGUUUUUGAUUGUUGUAGUAGAGCGGAUCAGUUGUCUUGAAAUAUGUUUGGUUUACAGAUUUUAGUGAGUUUAGAGAUUAGCUCUCAUACAGUCUGAGAUGAUUGUGUAGUUUGUAGAUUUGUUGUAUUUUCUUUGAAGAUGCCCUGUGUCUCCAAGCGAGUCCAGUUUCUCACCUGAAAUGUGAAGCUUUGCAGCAGCAUGCCAAGUAUCUACCAAAACGCUUGCUAAAAAAGAACUUUGUGAUCAAUAAUACAGCCAGGAUAAAUUUUGUUCCUGUAGUGCCACUCAGUGGCCAAAAAAAAAGGCAGUACAUUUGUCUGUACAUCUGAUAACAAAGUAGACAGUCCACUAUUGGAAUACAAACUUCUCACUGAAAGUCAGUACAAUAACUCAAGAUGUUUGAAUGGUAAAAUGAAGUAAUUCAUGUACAAGCACAGUGGAUAAUUUGUAAUAUAAAUAAAUGAUUAGACAUGAUUUAUUUUAUUUAUUAUUUAUUUAGUUAUCAGGGACAGUGCACAGUGAUAAACAUGUCAAUUAAUAAAGUUAAAAGGCAUGUAAAUGCACCAGAGUUAACCAUGGAUAGUUUUGUUUGUAAUCCUAGAGUAGGUUAUCAAAAAUGGUGUGACCAUGCAUACAAAAUUCAUAUAUUUAAAAUACAUUGCAACACAUAUAAUACAAAUUUAGAUACAAAGGAAAUACAAAUUAAAUAUCAAAAUGUAAUAUUAAAUUACAUUAUGCGAGUUGUUAUUACAGAAAAGCUGAGAAACAAUUAAAAAGCAACAAUUUCUGGUAAAUGUGAAGUGUGUGCUGCAUCCCUUUUUGGGUGGAGUUGUCAUAGGCUGAUCCCUGAAGUAGUGGCGGGUGUAGUGAUUUGAAAUGAGCCUCACACGGUCGCACCAAAAUAUAUGUAGCGAUUUGAAAUGAGCCUCACAAGGCCGCACCAAAAUAAUACUGUAGCGAUUUGAAUUUAUAAUAAAUGUCUGGAGAUUAAUAAUCUCAUAUUAUGACAUUUAUGCACUCGUUGAAAGGGGCACCACCCACCCUUAAUGGUGGGAAAAUAAAGAAACAAAAGUUUAAUUCAGAAAUCAAACAUCAAGUCAGUUUUAAUUAAUCAGUCUCAUAUCUUAAGUCGAAAUUCUAAUUUCAGGGACUCCACUUCUGGAAGAACACUAACAGACAGGAACUUAGAAAAAUAAUGAUCUGUUUAUUACAGGAUAAAUGAUGGUACAACACACAUGCAAUACAUGAUGAUAAGAUAAUGAGGAUAAAAUAACAAUAGGUGAAUAAAUAAAGAUUCUGAGUCAGGCUAGGAGCACUAAAGUUAAUGAUAGUGAGUGAAUAUGCGCUAACAUAUUAACCUACACUAACUUUGGUGUCGAGAUAAACUCGGAUGUGGAUUUGGAGGAAUCUAAGAUUACCAGAAUAAGAGGAUAUCUGAGUUGAACACAGGAGACAGCACCAGCCCUCUUUAGAGCUCUGGAGGUUUGCAUACUUAAGUGAGACUGGUCCUUGGAGAAGAUGGAGCAGGUUCCGAAGGUCCGGGCUACUGGCGGUUCGAGCGGUUCAGCUCAGAAGACGACUGAAGUCAGCCGAAGGAUGAGCCAGGAGUUGCAGUACUCGGGCCCGAAGCAAAGCCAGCGCCUGUGGAUCCUGUGGAUGCUCGUUUGGGUACUUCUUUGGUCUCACUUAAAAACUCUGGCACAGAGGAUGACCUGGGCCUGCUGGGUUGCGUUCAGAGGUGACUUUUAAUCACGCAGAAAACUCAGAAAAAGAGACUCGAGCAGAGAAAACUUUCAAAAAUGGCUUCGCGAAAUUAAAGAAAAAUCAAUCAAAGGCUUAAUCUUGAAUUGCUAUGUGCACAAAAAGUUGAAGUUUCAAAACUUGAACAAAGACGACGUUAAAGAAAAAUCACUGUGAAUCAACACGUGGCGUAAAACUUAGAAGACUAAGAAAAAGUUCUAAGAGAAAACAAAAAAACGCACCACAGAAGGGUGUGGGCAGAAGAGAAGGGGCAUAAGAGCCAGGGACAAGAGAGUCAGCAGAAGACUAGAGAGAAAGAAAAGAGACAAGAGAGUGAGCAACCCCACUUCACUGGUUUUAUCUUCUCACACUGGGAGUGUCUCUGGCGUGUGUGUGUGAGGAGAAAGGAGGGGUCGUGGAAUCUCUGAUUAUUUGAUCUAACUUAUUCUUUUGGCUGGCAAAAGAGUCAGAUCUGAUACUCACUCACUAUGAUUAAUAUCAUUGAAUGCUAGGUUUCAUGAUAAAUAAUUUGAUACUAAACACAUAUGAAUGAAGUGUAGGAUCACAUCAAACAUUCUCAUUAUGUUUUAAGUAUCACAUUGAACAUGCUAAAUUACUCUGAAAUGAAACAGAUAGCAACAUAUAGAAACUGUGAACAACAAAAAGAGUUAACACAUGUGAAUGAACUUCAUCAUGAUUAAUAAUGGAUUCUAAAUACUCACAUUCCGAUUAUUCAAUGACAUUAUAACCAUCUAAUGGUUAAAAAUACUAAAUAAAUGACUAAAAUAUAAACCAAACAUUCCUUAACUAUUUCUGUUACUUAGAGUAAAGUUAUGAUUCAUACUCAACAAAUUUAACUUUUAAAAGUUCAUGAAGUAGUCUGAAAAGCUGUUGGUCUAAAGAAAUUAAAGAAUAAGGAUUUAUCCUGUCAGAGUGAUAACUUGGCUUCUGGAGCACAUAGAAAAAUGAGACACAUCUCAUUUUAACACAAAUUUCAUGAUUAGACAGAUGAGUACAUUGCUGAAUGCAUAAGAUGUCAUGAUCAGUCAAUUGUAUUCUUUCACCAAAGGUUUGCAGUUUUUAUCAGUACAUGGUUGAACAUGGUUGAUCAUGGUUUGACGACCGAGGUCUGGAGGUCAGUGUCCUGUUCCUCAGACCUUAUCUUGGGGUCCGUAUGUUCACACACUUUAAGAGGUAAAUCUCAAAUGGGAGACCAUGAUUGAGGCACUAAUGUUUAUUUAAUAAACAGGUAAUAACAGGUAAUAAGGUAAUAAAAACUUUGUCUCUGUUCUCCAAAUUGACCAAUCAUGUAACACAUGGAAAACUGUGAACAACAAAAGAGUAAACACAUGUGAAUGAACUUCAUCAUGAUUAAUAAUGGAUUCUAAAUACUCACAUUCAGAUUAUUCAAUGACAUUAUAACCACCUAAUGGUUAAAAAUACUAAAUAAACAUCUACAAUAUAAACCAAACAUUUCUAAACUAUUUCUGUGUUCAUAGAGUAAGUUAUGAUCCAUAGUCAAUAAAUUUAACUCUUAACAGUUCAUGAAACAGUCUGAAAAGCUGUUGGUCUAAAGAAACUAAAGAAUAAAGGAUUUAUUCUAUAACUCGGCUUCUGAAGCACAUGGAAAAAUGGGAAACAUCUCAUUUUAACACAAAUUUCAUGAUUAGACAGAUUAGUACAUUGCUGAAUGCAUAAGAUGUCAUGAUCAGUCAUUUGUAUUCUUUCACCAACGGAAUGUAGUCUUUAUCAGUGCAUGGUCGAGCAGGGUUUUACGACCGAGGUCUGGAGGUCAGUGUCCCCCCUUAUCCUGAGGUCCGUGUGUUCACACACUUUAAGACGCUAAAUCUCAAAUGGGAGAUCUGGGUUGAGACGUCAAUGUUUAUUUAGAUGGUCAGCGAUGGAGUCAGUUUGAAAGGUAAUAAAAACUCUGUCUCUGUUCUCCGAAUUGACCAAUCAUGAAGAGUCAGAGGUUUAGUCAGCCUCCGGUUGGGUCAUUUAGGUAACCUGAAGUGUAAACGAGUCUGGAAAGAUUUAUAUCCUGUUUCCUGGGGCCAGAUAAGGAAACUUUCCUGUGAGGAAUGUGUGGGUUUCACAUCCAGGGUUGUCUUGAUUGCUACAUGGGUUGAGUGGUUGGUCACAGGCUGUAAAGAAGAGACAAUAUAUUAGUUACAUGUUCACAUAAUGAGAAUCAAUCAACAUAUAGUUAUAACACACCUGCUUAGCAUGCAUUAGUUUCUGGCUGGAGUUGGCAGUGGCUGAUAUCUCCUGUGAUGGUGUUGUCAUGGGAUAAAUACGUGGUUACAUGUUGUGAAGACAUGACACAUCAGUUACAUAAUCACACAGUUAGAAUUCAUUGUAAUUACAAUCAUAUACCACUUUUGUAUGCAUCCUUUCUGAGGAAGAGACACAUUGCGUGCUUACACAAGUAGUAUAGUUUAUGAAUGAAAAUAGUUAAGUAUAAAUUGAAAGUCACACUUACCAAUUGAUUAUUGUUUCAGUAAUCCAUCAGGGUCUCAUCUCACCAAAGGUGGAGUAAUGAUGGGCUGGUCAGUCUUCAGCUGGAGCAAUCAUAAGAUGUAUGGUAUAUUUGUUGAAACAUUGAGGAGAGGAGAGAUCACAUCAGUUACAUGCUGACAAAUGAAGAAGUCAUCAUAUUGGAGAAACAGUAACUAGGCACAUUGCUAAUGUUUUCAUUCUUUGUAGUCAAGUUGUGAUGUUCAGAAUAAUUGCAAGUGUAAAUGAAGUGGAGAGGUUAUCACAUGUUAGUUUGCAUACAAUCAUUAUAAAUGUCCAUCCAAAUCAUUACUUACGAUGUUCUGAAGUGGUCACUCGCCUUGACAUCAUGGUUUGUCCAGGAGUUGUAAAUUGAUCCAUCUGCCAGCUGUUUGGGAACCUGCUAAAACACUCUCAAAUCUACUUUUCUAUGAAAAGCAUUAAUAAUAUCAAAAACAGCAGUGUACAUGAUUAAUCACAAAUUUUAAAGCUGCAGUAAAUACCUUCAUGGUCGCUAAAAUAUGAAGAUGAAAAAAUGCAAAUUGAAGAUGACUUCAAUAUGUCAUCGUUGAAAUCUCCCAUGAUAAUAAUGUUUUUGCCAAUUUGUUCCAGCCAUUGGAGUAGUUUGUUAAUAUUUUCUUUGAAUAGUGUCAUGGGGUAGGUUGGAGGCCGAUAUAUGACUGUUAGGAAAAUGUUUAGGUUUAUGCAGUUGUACACCAAACAUUCCACAUUGAAACAAGGCACCUUGAUGAUUGCAAACUGCAUAAUUCCACCACAAUACAUUGCAACUCCCCCAUGUUCUUUUGCCUGCAAAGAGGCAAAAGGGGCAGUUUGACCAUCAUAUGCCAGAGCUCGUGGACAACUAUGCAGAGAGUAGUUGGCUAUCUCGAGUGUCUCCGCAGAACAACCUGGAUGCAACCACGUCUCAGUCACAGCAAUGCACUCUGGCUGCAAAUGCUGUGUGUGCUGAGCCAAGUCAGACACAUGGCGUCUCAAACCCUGAACAUUCAUGAGGAACACUGUCAAAGUGUCUUCCACUCUCCCUUGCCAGGUGACAGGCUCUAGGAACGAAACCAUCCUUGAAGUGGCCUGAGCAAUUUCUGGCGGACAAUAGAUUUUUUUUGGAUUGAAAUCUUGAAUGAUCAAUCCCAUAAGAGUCCUGACACGACUCAACGCAACAUAAACCUGACCAGCAGAAAACACCUUCUUCAUACUAACUAUGGCUGUGUCAACUGUGAGGCCUUGUACUUUGUGUACAGUACAGGCCCAGGCGAGACGAAGCGGAAAUUGACGGCGCAUACCUCCCUUCUUUGUCACUCUUUCUUCCUCCGGUGCAAUAGAUGUGGAACCAACAAGAUGAUCUGAAACCCCUUUCUGACUGUUUCCUCCUCUCAACACCAACUGCUUCAUCAUCAAAUUUCACAAAAAUACACAGAGGAAACUUAUUAUUUUCAACACAAACUACAUCUGUUACUGUGUCACAUGCACCAUUAACUAAGCCGUCAGCCAAAUCCAAGUUUUUUGUCAACAUGACACGUGACCCAGUACCCAACAACAAUUCUGCAUCUAAACACGUGUUAUACGUUAGUGUAUGAUAUCCCUUUUUCAAUUCCAGUUUGCCUGUUUUUUAGUUGUUUAUAUAAUCCUGAGCCUGUAUUACAUGGUAAUCUGGACAUGUUCUUUGCAGCUGCUCAAAGUUGUGCUCAUUGAACUGGCUAUUUGUGGCAAAUAUAUGCAAACCUGAGCACUCUUCGCCAGUUUCUCGCUGUUGCAAAGUGGUGAUAUCACUUUGCAACAUGUCUGAGUCUUUUGGAUGGGUCCGAACUCGAUUCAGUAGUCCGGCAAAAUCAUCGUCUGUCUGGCGAAUUACUUUUGUCAACUUAACAACCUUAAAAUGAGUGCUCCAAAGAUCAACUCCAAGUGGUUCCAUGUAUAACGGUUUGCCUUUCACCGGAGGCAACUGAUAAAAAUCCCCCACUGCCAUGACGCUCACAUUUCCAAAUGGAGUGUGAGUGCCUGUCUGUUUAAUUUGGCGAAGUCGACCAUGGACAUAAGUGAGCAUAUUGUGAUCCACCAUAGAAAUUUCAUCAAUUAUCAAGAUUUGGAGAUCACAAUAUUUCAUUCUCAAUGUGUUUAACUUUUCUUCACCUAUUGGCACAUAAGGGAGGCGAACAUCUUUCCCUAUGCUAAAUGUACUGUGCAGGGUGGUUGCAUGCAGAUUAUAUGCAGCAAUCCCUGUUGGUGCAGUCAACAAAAUACUUAUAUUGUCAGGUUGUCGACACAUGGGUGACAAUAACCUUGUGGCCUCGUAUUGAAUGGCUCUGAUUAAAUGCGAUUUUCCAACGCCAGCACCACCUGUUACAAACACAUCAAAGGGGUCUGGGUUUCUACCUGCUGCUUUAACAACACACCACUGAUGGACCUUGUUUAACACACGCAUCUGGUCAUCAUUUAAAGACCUGCACAAUGCCAAUCCCUCACUUCUACUUAAAUUGUUGCACUUAGUUACUUUAGCCUGCUCUACACCCCCAGCCAGAUCAGGAAUAUGUUCCACUGGGUCAUUGUCUACCUCUAUCUGCUCUGCCCUUUCCUGGAUUGACUCCAGUCGUUCAAUUUCUUGCUGUGGGAACAACUGCCCCCACGCAUCUUCUACAGGACCAUCAAAAUUCACAGCAUCAAAAACCUCAUCUAAGUCAUCGGCAUCUAUUUCAUAAUUGCAGCGAUUCGAGUCCACAACUGACUUCACUGAACUUAGCUGUCCAUCAGAAAUGAUGACACGGCCAGUUUUGUAGAAGUCUUCAAAAGUGACAAAUCCCUCUGGCUUUAGCUGUUCUUCUGUCCGAUACGGAAGGAACAGCUGCAAAAUGCUUUGGUGAAAUAACUCUGGACUUUUAGUCUCAGAGAAUCUUGCGUACCUUACAACAGCAGGCUGCGUACGGGUUCUUCUCAACACAAACCCACAGCCGUUAUCAAGUUUAAUUCGGUUUUUUGAUUUUUCACCUUUGUAGAGCACACGAUACUCAGCAGCAAUAUGGACAAGGCACAUGCCUUCAAAUACAUGAUCUCUGGGUCUGUUUUUAUAACGGUCAACAAAGUUGAUCAUCCACAUCUGUUCUGUGGAUUCAGCAGCCAUGUCUUUUAACACAGUCAAUGGCUUGCUGAUCCUGACAACAUUGUCACCUGUUGGUACAAAAACCACCUUCCGAGAGCACUCUUUUAAGUGCAUGUUGCUGAGCUUGUAGACUGCCUCCUGAGCUCCAACAUCUCGGUUGUGAAGGUAAACACUGCCUAGCUUUUUCAAAGCCUGUUUGGCACUGAGGUUGUCUUCCUUGGAUGCCUCCCGCUGUGCAUUUGCCAACAUCAACCCCAUCUCUCUUUCUGCUUUAGAGAUGUAUGAAAUGAUGUAGACUACACAAGCAUAAGCAUCAGUCACAUACUGGAUGUCCAUGUUUGCAUUCCAAGCUUUUAACAGAGUCUUGGAAUGUGGGUUUAUCCACGUAUCACAAACCUGGCGUCGCAUUAUCACCUCUGUCUUUUUCCCUAACCUCCUGUAUGCUGCCUCAAAUGUCUCUUGUCGUAUACCUAUACUCGCAAAUAGCUCAUCUGCAGUUUGAAUUGUGCAGUUCUCGUCUGACAACGCUUUAGCUAUUAAUUCAAAAACCUUAACAGCGAAUUCCCCUUCCUGCUUGUGCUUCUUCUCAUUUUCUUCCUUGCCACAAGUGCACUGUUCUACCACGUUAUGGACGUUGCGCUGACACACGCACUCCAUCUCAACUUCCUUAUACGCCCUGGAAAUGAAUGUCCUAUCAGACACCGGUUUUGGGAAAUUGAAGCGGCACUGUUUUCCACCUUUUUUACAAGUUUUGGAGUGCCGCUUUGAAUGCUGCUGCACUGAAGAAACAACCUCAUGUAAAUCAUCAGUGUUAUUAGGUAGUUCACAUGAAACAUAUUUAUCAAUAAACUGAACAACCUCAUCAUCUGUGUUCACAUCAAUUACAGGGGCAUUCUCAACCCAAAACAGACAAUGAACGUGUGGAGAGCCACGCUGCUGGAACUCCACCCUGUAAAAGUAGUCGAGGAUUUUGCCAAUCGGAUUUGCUGGAGACAUCAACACCUCUUUCAAAAACAGAUGCCAGCGAUAAUCAAACAUGCGAGCGGCGAGUACAGGAUUACGACGCAACAGGUCGCACUUGUCUGCCCACUCCAGGUCCUCAAAUGUCUGUGUUCGCCCCUCUGCCCUAAGAAUGUUCUCUAAAUAUUCCUUCCACCUCAAAUCUGCUGCAGAAAAUGAACAAACCCAUGCAGGUUUGCCAAGCUGUCGCAAGCAUGCUAACAAAUCCUUCUGAAUUCCCUGCCAAAAUGCUGGAGUACCCCUUACAGGUUUUAAAAACGGUACCCAUCAUCAUGAUUUAAAAGGUCACGCAGGUUCUCUUCAUCUUUCAAUACAUCACUAAUCUUUGUUCUAACCUUACUGGCUUUCCCUUUUCUCAAUGCAAUUGACACACUGGACAUGACUUGAUGUAACUCAAGCAUGUAACAAGCAUAAAAAAUAAACUCAAUAUUAUGCGCAAACCUACCAUCAGCAUGAUAUAGCCUGUUGCUCAAAUAGCGGAACAGAGUCAGAGAAAAAUCUCUGUUAUCAAAAAAUGUUCCACGGCCUUUUGGAAACAACACGGGGAAACACUUGGCCUCGUUCUCCUUUGUUGUCAAAACCUUUACAGGGUUCUGUCCAUCAGCUGGAGCCAAGUUCAAAACACCAUCAAAAUAUUGGUCCAGCGCUUCCUGGCCAAUAUCAACAGGCAUUGAGCAUGUGUCUUGAAACAUGCAAUGCUGCUGCCGAUCAUGCAGAAGUUCUUCCUCAGCUGCAGCUGCCUCAGCUGCAGCCUUCUCAGCUGCAGAUGCCUCAGAGCUCUCUGCAUUUGAUCCUCCCUGUUCAUCAACAAUACUCUGCUGCUCUUUGUCAACACUCUCAUCCCUGCAAAAUUCAUUUAUCCAGUCAUCAUUGAACUGCACAUCUUUGUAGAAGGGAUUGUUUUCUUUCAGAUAAUGCAGUGCUUUCUUGAUAUGCAUAGGGUCAACAUACUCGUAUGCAUAAUGUCCUUUAUAAGUAAGCUUGCGCUUCAGUUUAACAGGAAUAACUGAACCUUCCAUGUUUGAACGUGGCAACGCGUUACUGGUUUGGACAAUGUUGGCUGGAACACAUGCAAUCGGCCCAUGAACACCAUUUUGACCCCCUCUAGGAAGAGCUACCAUCUUGAAAAAGGGGAUAUGGAGUGCAAUCAAAUGCGACUCUAGGCUAUUUAAACAAGCCAACUCAGGUGGGAUCGGAUCAACGGUCAGAUUGUUGGUUGCCCUCUCAGCUGGCACCUCACCUUUACUGACCUUGCCAUGACAUGAAUGACAAAUCCACAAACUACCAUGAGGGGAAGCUUUCAAAACACAUGGUACGGCACAAGAAGACAUACAUUUAUGCACAAACACAUCUUUAAUACAUCUAGCUGCGACACGAGCUGUAUUUGUAUUGGUACUGUACUUGUCUAUAUUACAACUCAAAACCUGGUGUUGAAACAACAGUCUAUGGCACACACUGCACACAAAUGCUGGCCCAUGUUUGAUUUUUUCCAAAAACUGCUCAAUUACAAAGUCUAUCUGUUCUAGCUUUACCUUCCUUUCUAAUAUUCCAAGUUUCUUAGAUGCAAGGAAGUGUUCUGUAUUCUGGUGGUAAUUUUUCCUUAGUAAGUGUUAUUUUUUCUGCUUAAAUGCAGCUUUUCCAUAUUUAACCUUACUUAUUUCCCUGCUUCUGUUUUUAACAAUUUGUCUGUGGGUAUUAUCGUCCCUAUAUUUAAUGUUGCUUCUGUCCUUGCUUCUGUUUUUAACAAUUUGUCUGUGGGUAUCAUCGUCCCUAUAUUUAAUGUUGCUUCUGUCCUUGCUUCUGUUUUUAACAAUUUGUCUGUGGGUAUCAUCGUCCCUAUAUUUAAUGUUGCUUCUGUCCUUGCUUCUGUUUUUAACAAUUUGUCUGUGGGUAUCAUCGUCCCUAUAUUUAAUGUUGCUUCUGUUCUUGCUUCUGUUUUUAACAAUUUGUCUGUGGGUAUCAUCGUCCCUAUAUUUAAUUUUGCUUCUGUCCUUGCUUCUGUUUUUAACCAUUUGUCUGUGGGUAUCAUUGUCUCUAUACUUAAUUUUGCUUCUGUAUUUAACAUCUUGUUUGUGCACCUCAUCUAAGUAUUUGACCUUACUUAAAGCCUUGAGUUUCUGUUGAUACAACAGAUUGUGCUUAUAUCUAUUCCUAACAUUUUGGUUACGUCUGUUGUAAUCCAAGAAGUUUUUGUGGUAGUUAAUUUUCAUUUGCAAAAACUUCUUGUUUUUAAGAUAUUUUGACAACCUUUUUUCAUUAUGUGAAGGACUUAAAAUCUGAUGAGUCUGUUGCUUGAAGUCCUGACAUCCUGUCCUGAGGUUAUAGGGCGCAUCUUUGCUCACCUGUGUCAAACCAUAGUCGGUACUAUGUGCAACAGCACCUUUACACAAAUCACAGCAAUCACAGUCCACAUUAGGUUGUCGAACACAGACAACAGCCUCAUAAUGGAUGUUAUUACAGUUCUCCAAAUACACUGCCUGUUCUGAUUAUUGUUGACCUUGACAGCUGUAUUGAAGCCAUCGACCGUCAAUGUAGGUAAAAAUGCUAACCCCGAAACAAUCUGCUGCAGCCUGAAUCUCCACCUCUGUGGCCCAACUACCCACAUAUCUCAUUCUGGACAUGUUGACAUAUUCUUUGACAGAGGUAAAUUCAUUUCUCAGAAUAUGCUCAUAUGAUCCAGGAUGACAUUCAAUGUGUUUACAAACUGCCAACCUGACUUUCCUGUGAAACCUCUCACUACCAGACAAAACAUGACUCACAGCUCUGAAGAAGCAAUUGCCAUCGCCGACAAUAGGCUGCUUCUUGCAUGGAGGUCCUAAUAUGCCAGCUACAAAUCCUUCCACAUCAACUUUCUGACAUUCUAUCCCUAAAGUGUUGCACAAAACUUUGGCAACCUGUAACUGAAGGGGGUUAAACACUAAAUCUUGUUGGGCUCCAUUACCAACACACAUCACAUCGUCGUCAGUCUGGCUUAUUGCAUCAUCAGUGCACACAACAUCAUUAUUUUUUGCACCCUCGUUGUUUGUGUCUUUAACAAUGAAUACAUCAUCACCAAAAUUGUUGGUCUUUGCUCUCUUGGCAGCAGGAGCGUGCACAAAGCGUUGAUGUUUCAAGCCUUGCUUCCUAUGUACUGAUGUACUGGAUGAACACCCCUGCUUGGAGUGUGACACUUCGUGAUGUACAUCUGCAUAGACACUCUUCAUUUUACUCAGUAUUUCAGUAUUUACUCUUGAGCUGGAUGGCAAACACAUACUUUGAAUUGUUGACAUUCUGGGGAUUGCACGCACACCAGCAACUUCAAAAGCCUGGUUGCUCACAUGCUGUGAUGCAGCCAAGGUCAAUGCAUGUGUAUGCAUUUCCUGCAAGUUAUGGAAAUACGUAAUAACACUUCUGCCAUCAGGAUCCACCAGGCCUGAAGCAUUUCGAGCAUGAGAAUCAACAACAGCAAACACACCAUUCUCACGAAUGACAACAGAUGUGCUGCAAUGCAAUGUCAAAAAGCAUGUGUCAUAUUUGGCAAGCAGAAUUUGUAGACUAUGCAGCAAUGUUGUCAACCCGGGUGCAAUGGGUGACCCAUCAGUCUGGUUGAUGAGUCCAGACAUGUAAUCACCAUACUCAAAGUCAAACUCCAUGCCAUCAAUUGUGUGUGAAGCAGGCAAAUCUGGAAUACACAAAAAAUCACUCCCGCCACUGAUUUUGUCGUUAUCUCGCAGAUAUGUGUACAGUUGAUCCCCACAGAGCAAAGCUGUGUCAAGAUCAUGCACACCCCAUGAGAAAACGCUUUUGACACUGUGUUUGGCAACGCUGGCCAGCCCAAUUGCCAUACACUGUGUUCCGUGAUUACUUAAUAAAUCACUUCCCUGGUGAAAUGAUCCUUGGACACUGUCUCUUACCCAACCUGGGUCAGACAUCUCACCCUCAAUCUUAGUGCACAGAAACUGUACUGCCUCAGUCUCCAUACUGCUAACCUGCACAGGUGAGCGAUCAAAAUCACCAAACACAAGAGGGGGGAAAGAGGACGUUUACGCAUACUUACCUGUUCCACCUGGGUGACUCCAUCUGGCUGGGGUGCUGACAGGAUGGCAGUGUUCACCGUCACUACGCCCGGGCACGUCUGGAGCUCUGCCACCCUCUCCAAGUCCACCUCAGGUGAAGUGACUUCUGUAGCAGGAGGCACCUCAGUCAUCUGCGGCUCAGCUGGGCUCUGGACACGCAAGGCCCUUCCCUGCACACAAAAGUUUGUGCAUAAAUAUAUUGUCAUUGAUAAAAACAUCAAAUUGUAAAAAAGUGUACUUUUAUAGUUGAAAGUAGAAUCAUUAACUGAUAAUGCUAACAUCUUAUUUGUGUAUGAAUAAAGAAAAAUAUUUUUUUAAAUUAAGGGCCAAGUAAAAUUUCUUUAUGUUAUUAUUUCAGUUCUGUAUGAUAAACUUGGUUUAGAUGCAAACCUAGCUCUGCGUGCUUGCAUAUUAAUACACCAUGUGUGCUAAUGAAGAAACAAACCUGCUUCCUGGUAGGGAUCCUCCGAGAUGCAACCACAGUCCUGCGUGGUUCCACACGUGGCAUCUGAAUGAAAAAAUAUUUCUUAUAAGCAUUGUUGUUGUGCAACACAAAACAUUUUAUGAAUGAACAGUCAAAGUGCUACUGUAGUUUGACAUUUUCACUGACCUCAUCAUCGUGUGGAACAGGGUUGGGAAGCUGGGACGGCAAAAUCUUCUCCAUGGCAUCCAGCAGGUGUGCACUGAAAUGGAUAGGGUUGAGACGCACAAAACAGUCUCGCAACCCAACUGUUGACAACUAGGAUGAGAAGGAGAGAGAGAAAAAAUAUAGAAUAAAUAAAGUAAUACUUUAGAAAAGGGUUUCUUUUCAAAGAAAAUGUGUGUAAUCCAUACAGAAAUUCUGAUGAUAGUGGUUUUUUAUGAUAGUUGUGUCAUAUAAAGGAUGACAAACCUGCUGCGUGCAUGGAGCAGAGUCCUCCACCUCGUUGCCAGAGAGAUUCUGCUGUGAUAAGUAAGUUGAGAAUUAACACUACUGUAUUAAAUACAUAUACUAUACGUAUAUACACACACAGGAAUUAUGUUUACCUUGUGCACCUUUCCACACACUGUCCACUCAAAGGGGUUGGAUGGUUGAGGUGCAGGCACCUCUCCCCUCACAACCACCUUUGGUGUGACAGUGCUCAGGGGGGCGAGCGCCUGCGCGUCACUGACAGCACUGAUGCAGGAUCACCUCUCUCCAGUUCAGUGUAGGCCGCAUGCCAGAGACGCUGCCCCAGAAUAGGCGACCCACCAUCAUCACUGAGAUGGACCUAUAUAGAAGACAAGACCAUUUUCAUGAUCACAAAUUUGCAUGAUGCAAAAAUUUGUGCAUUUAUUAUGAAGUCCAUAUGAAACAUCAGAUGAGUAGGGAUUGUUCUAACAGAAUCCCUGCACCACAGUUUGAGGCAUCUCAGGAGGAAGUCAUCAGCAGCAGGGCAAACAUAUCGAAUGCCUGUUAAUGUAAAGUGAGACAAAGUGAAGCAUUAGUACAGAUGUGUGUAUUUUACUCCAAACAGAAAAGACAAUUAUUCUUUCACCGUGUCCGUAAAAUGUACAGAGUUGUGAUGUAUUCUAAGAAAUACAUGUAAUUUGUUUGUGUUUUUUGUAGAUGUUUUAUAUGAUUGGUUUUAUGAUGAUAUUAUUGUCAUUUAGAAUUUUGUCAUGAAGGCGAAUUUAAAGUGUUGUAAAACGUACCCAUACGUGCUGCGACUCGACGGAAUUCCUGCCGCAGGAGCUCCUGGUGGUCUAAAGGGUGGUUCAGCCGAGGUGGAACGUCAUACACAAUUACCUAUAAAAAUAGCAAACACACCAGAAGGACAAGGAGAGUUAUUACAGAGCAUAACUACUGAUUGAGAUACUACAAAAUGUGUUAAUGAGAUCAUAGCCCCACCUUGAACCACCUCCCAACAGCAGUGGAGAGAAGUUUAGCAAAAUCUGUUGACGACUUCUCAAGAGACCCUUGGGUUGUCAGGUUGUUGCUAGGAGCCAUGACGAUGACCAAGUCAGGAUUGCGAGGCACAGCAGCAUGCACCAUCUCAAUCCUCAGUUCGUCAGCACAGGCCCCUGGUGUGGACAUGAACCCAAAGGACAUCCGUCCUUCAGGCAAUGGCACAACCCCAUCAACAAACGGGCGCAGGUGAGAGUCACCAACAAUAAGAACAAACUAGGAUGAAAAAGGGAGAAGUACUAAUUAAAUACUGUAUCAGCUGAAAUAUGUGUUGUGAGGGUAAAAUACAAUGUCAGUAUCAUACCUUCUUGUCAGGAACCUCAGGAGGAAUGACCACUUUGUGUUGCCAACCAGUCAACACAGAUAUUGGCCACUGGUUAACGCGAUGGCGAUAACCAGUCCCAACAGUGCCUAUUCAAACAGACAACAUUGACAUGUAUUAUUAUAAAAGGUAAACAGUAAACCUGAUUUGGAUGUGUAUUUUCCUAGAUAGAGAGAAAUAAGAAACUGUUACCAAUAUAGUGACGUGAAAAAAAAUGAUACACACCUGUAAACAUGUCAUCACUGUGGCCUUGUGGACCAACAAUCAGGAACUCGCGCUGAGCGUGUUGCUUGGUUGCAGCCUGUGAUCGACGCCAACCCUUCAGCUUUGGCAUCUGAAAGUAUAGAUAAUAGAUGUAAUACCUGUUAUAUUUGUAAAACUUCCUACAACAAUUAAACAUUUGUGUUAUGUUAUAUAAGCACAAAAAAAUACAAAAAGAGUUGCUAAACAGUGAGGGUAACACAUUUUUAGCCUCUGACCUAAUUUGACAUCACAUUUGUGAUGACAACAGAAACACAAAAAAAGAAUCAUUUCUCCCUCAAAUGUAUUUGUUUUUUUCUUGAUGUGUAGGUGGUGUAGCAAGAGAGAGGAGGCCUAUUCUGUGGAGAAGUAGUCAAACAGCAGUCCCAGGGACAGGAGACAGGUAUGGCAGAGGAAAAGUGAACCUUUGUAGUGAGGAGAAAGUCCAACUAAGCAUUGGCGGUUCUAAAGACUAAAUUACUCUGUAGGCAAGCAACUUUUUAAUUCCCAGACCGUGAAAUCAGACCAAAGCCCCCUUGCGAUGGGGACACAGACAGCAAAACAAGACAAUAAUUCCACUGCAAUGUGGACACAGACCGCAAAACCAGACAAUAGCCCCUCUACGAUGCUGACGCAGACAGCGAAACAAGACAAUAGACUUCCACCACCACUGUAAAGUGCUAAAUUAUGAUCUCCAAGAGUUCAGUGAAGUCACAGAAUAACUAAGUUACAACUAGCUUACUGUUUACACAGGGCCGCUAACAAAGUAGCACACUAGCUACUUUGUUAGCGGCGCUGUGUAAACAUCAAAUCAGCACGCCUAUGUUAGCCACAACAGUUUUGUUAGCAUGCAUGUUUAAGCAAAAGUUCUCCCUCAACAACGGUAAAACACCACAAAUAAGCGUAAAAACACAGACACAGAUUGCAAAACCAGACAAUAGCCCCUCUGCGAUGUGGACACAGAACGCGAAACAAGACAAUAGACUUCCACCACCACCGUAAAAUGCUAAAUUAUGAUCUGCAAGAGUUCAGUGAAGUCACCCAAUUACUAAGUUACAACUAGCUUACUGUUUACACAGCGCCGCUAAAAGGUAGCACACUAGCUACUUUGUUAGCGGCCCUGUGUAAACAUCAAAUCAGCACGCCUAUGUUAGCCACAACAGUUUUGUUAGCAUGCAUGUUUAAGCAAAAGUUCUCCCUCAACAACGGCAAAACACCACAAAUAAGCCUAAAAACAGACACAGACCGCAAAACUAGACAAUAGCCCCUCUGCGAUGCGGCGCAGACAGCGAAACAAGACAAUAAUUCCCCUGCAAUGUGGACACAGACCGCAACACCAGACAAUAGCCCCUCUGCGAUGCGGCGCAGACAGCGAAACAAAACAAUAAUUCCCCUGCAAUGUGGACACAGACCGCAAAACCAGACAAUAGCCCCUCUGCGAUGCGGACACAGCAGGCGAAACAAGACAAUAGACUUCCACCACCACCGUAAAAUGCUAAAUUAUGAUCUCCAAGAGAUAAGUGAAGUCACAGAAUAACUAAGUUACAACUAGCUUACUGUUUACACAGGCUCGCUAACAGCUUUGAUCAGAUGAUUUGACAGGCCGAAGUAGUGCCGAAUUAUCUAAAAAAAUAUACACUCACCGGCCACUUUAUUAGGUACACCAUGCUAGUAACGGGUUGGACCCCCUUUUGCCUUCAGAACUGCCUCAAUUCUUCGUGGCAUAGAUUCAACAAGGUGCUGGAAGCAUUCCUCAGAGAGCUUGGUCCAUAUUGACAUGAUGGCAUCACACAGUUGCCGCAGAUUUGUCGGCUGCACAUCCAUGAUGCGAAUCUCCCGUUCCACCACAUCCCAGAGAUGCUCUAUUGGAUUGAGAUCUGGUGACUGUGGAGGCCAUUUGAGUACAGUGAACUCAUUGUCAUGUUCAAGAAACCAGUCUGAGAUGAUUCCAGCUUUAUGACAUGGCGCAUUAUCCUGCUGAAAGUAGCCAUCAGAAGUUGGGUACAUUGUGGUCAUAAAGGGAUGGACAUGGUCAGCAACAAUACUCAGGUAGGCUGUGGCGGUGCAACAAUGCUCGAUUGGUACCAAGGGGCCCAAAGAGUGCCAAGAAAAUAUUCCCCACACCAUGACACCACCACCACCAGCCUGAACCGUUGAUACAAGGCAGGAUGGAUCCUACUUUCAUGUUGUUGACGCCAAAUUCUGACCCUACCAUCCGAAUGUCGCAGCGGAAAUCGAGACUCAUCAGACCAGGCAACGUUUUUCCAAUCUUCUAUUGUCCAAUUUCGAUGAGCUUGUGCAAAUUGUAGCCUCAGUUUCCUGUUCUUAGCUGAAAGGAGUGGCACCCGGUGUGGUCUUCUGCUGCUGUAGCCCAUCUGCCUCAAAGUUCGACGUACUGUGUGUUCAGAGAUGCUCUUCUGCCUACCUUGGUUGUAACGGGUGGUUAUUUGAGUCACUGUUGCCUUUCUAUCAGCUCGAACCAGUCUGGCCAUUCUCCUCUGACUUCUGGCAUCAACAAGGCAUUUCCGCCCACAGAACUGCCGCUCACUGGAUAUUUUUUCUUUUUCGGACCAUUCUCUGUAAACCCUAGAGAUGGUUGUGCGUGAAAAUCCCAGUAGAUCAGCAGUUUCUGAAAUACUCAGACCAGCCCUUCUGGCACCAACAACCAUGCCACGUUCAAAGUCACUCAGAUCACCUUUCUUCCCCAUACUGAUGCUCGGUUUGAACUGCAGGAGAUUGUCUUGACCAUGUCUACAUGCCUAAAUGCACUAAGUUGCCGCCAUGUGAUUGGCUGAUUAGAAAUUAAGUGUUAACGAGCAGUUGGACAGGUGUACCUAAUAAAGUGGCCGGUGAGUGUAUUUUGUUGUCAUCUAGGUGUAGAUGGGAGGGGAUGUGGUCUUUAAAGUGCUAAAAAUAAAAAUACUACAGUUUUUGAAAAGGGUUUCACGGGGCGCAGUCGUGGGUACGUGCAUCAGCUUAUCAAACAGCUGUUCACCGCAACACGCACACAGGCACAAACAGACCCACAAAGCCCAUGGAUGUUUAUCACAAUUUACAAGCACGUUUAACAGAGUUUUUACACGUUUUUACGAGUAUGUGUUUUAUUCACUUGGCCGUAUUUGGCAAAAAAAAACCUCGGAAAAAAUAGGUGAGUCAAGGUAGACAACAAUUUACUUUCGUGACAGCAAAUAUUCUGUAUUAAAGGCUAUUGUUUUUGGCUAUUCUGAAUAACCUGAAUGAAAUCAUUAAAAGGCACACGCUUUUGAAUCCGUCCAACGGUAAGGAAAACUUAGAAUAUUUCGCCUUGUUGUGUGCUUUCAACCGCGCUCUCGUCAGGGGGGUAUACUACGGCAGGGGUGCGUUCUACGGCACAACACCAGCGUGGAUAAGUCAUGUUUCUCGUUGUCGCAUCUUUGCAUUAGCAAACGUGCAUCAGUACGAUCAAACAGCUGUGCUCCGCAACACGCACACAGGCACAAACAGACCACAAAGCCAAUGGAUGUUUACCACAAUUUAUAAGCACGUUUCACAAAGACGUUUCAACCGCGCUCCCGUUAGAGGGGCAGACUACGGAAGGGGUGCAUUCUACGGCACAACACACCCCCCCAAAAAAAAAAAAAAAUUCUCCUCGGAUCUACACGAUUCACCCUUUCUCACUCAAAACAACGAAUUUCACCGAAAGGUGAGAGAUUUUCAUGCCUGCUGCUAACAAAGCGUACAUAGCACACUAGCUACUGUGUUAGCAGGCCCGUUUAAACAUCAAGUUAGCACGCCUAUGUUAGCCACAACAAGAGUUUUGUUAACAUACAUGUUUAAGCAAAAGUUCUCCCUCAACAACAGCAAAACACCACAAAUAAGCGUAAAAACACAUGACUUACCGUACUGAAGUUGUAAAAGACGAGAUGAGCAGCCGCUCCGUGGAUCGGUGGAAUAAAAGAAAAUCAAACUCAGCCGAGGUUGACCGUGAUAAUUUGUGUGUUGUGUUGUGUGUGUGUUUGUUAAAUGUGAAAGAUGUAUUGCAAGAUUUGUGUUCGUAGAUGUGUAUCAGUGAAGCGUGUAAAAAAUCCUCAAAAACAGAUUUGCUCGUAAAACUCGCUCUCUGUCAAAGGUAGUCUGUUGUCCUCAAGAGUUCAAUCAGACUACACGAGCUACGAAAAUAGUCGAAUAUAAACAGGAGCAAGAGGAGGUCGACCAAUCAGAAAGCUGGAUUUAAUGACUUGCGACUGAGGUUAUAGUCAAAGCCAAUAAGAACAGUACACCUUUCGGUAAGCUCCGCCCAGCCCUCCCUCUCCUCCGCUACGCUUAGCACAAGCACCGUUGAACAAAAUGGCGGCGGCUUUACUUGGCACAUGAAAAUGAACGCUGUAGCUGAUGUUUUCAUUGAUUAAUGUUUGAGAAAAAGCUUAAAUAUCUCACAUAAGUUGUACCAACAAGGCCUGCAAUAUGCAGUCGAAGAAUUACGCAUAAUAUUCAGGUGUGUUCGAACAAAAUAGGAGUUUUGCAUGGUGGUGAGGUCGAGUGUGAACAAAGCGCAGUGAUUCAGUAGGAUGUUGUGCGGUCCAGAGUUUGAAGCCUUUUUCAUGGGGCGGCAGUAGCUCAGGGGGUAGAGCGGUCGUCCAAUGACCGGAAGGUUGGCGGUUCGAUUCCCCCCUAAUCCAAGUCUGUCCGUUGUGUCCUUGGGCAAGACACUUAACCCACCUUGCUCCCAGUGUGUGUCCUCCACUGGUGUAUGAUUGUGAGUGUUGUGUGGUGGUGGUGGUCGGAGAGGCCGUAGGCGCGGAAUGGCAGCCAUGUUUCCACCACCACCAAAGUGUGACUGUGUGAGCGAAUGAAUGAUGUAUCCAAUGUAAAGCGCUUUGAGGGUCUCUGAUAAAGCGCUAUAUGAAAUCUGAUGCAUUAUUAUUAUUAUAUGUUUUAGUCCGAUUACGGUACAAUCUCCAUACAGGUGUAAAGUCGGGCUGUUGCAGAGCUACCAAAUAGAUUUUUGUAGCUCAUUUCGUAGUAUUGCGGUUAUACCGAUAACUUUUGUCACAGACUAGUUCGCUCUUGGCGGAGUUAGAAUCUACCCGAAGUGGUUACACGGAGGAUCACGUGAGCGGGCACGUGAGAGGGCUCAUGUGAUCCUGUAUUAUUGUCACAGAGGCAGUCGGCGUUACCGAGACUGAUAAACCACAUGAAAUCUAAUACUUACAUUGAAUUUCAGCGACCAAUUUUCUUGUCAAAUACUCAAUAGGACCCAGGCUUUAAGAUCUGAAGGUGGGGUUUUUUUGUUGUUUUGUUUCGUAUUAGUGUUUUGACCGGAUAUGGCGAAAACACUGGCUACGCUCCCAAGAUGAAAGUAGUUCCAUUGAUUGAGAUCAGUUCUGCAACGUCCAGUUAUCAUUUUAAAUAAUCAACUCUUGAAUUGUGGAUUAAUAUUGAUUGUCUGAAUUAGGUCUAUAUAUAGACGUUGAAAGGACGUAUAAUUGUUUACGUCUAAAUCACGUCUAAAAAAAUACCGAAUCCUGACGUUGAAAUGAAGUAUAAAUUUAUACAUAUAAAUAAUCUUUACAUCUAUACUAUGCUCAGGCCCGGAUUAAACCUUCUGUGGCCCCUAAACUAAGCAAACCUAAUGGCCCCACUCUAUCCCACGCGCGCAAAAAAAUGGCAGUUUUUAGUAAGGAUUUUGUGGAAUGUACUGCAGCUAUGGGUGGUUAUUUAACGGUUCCACUAGCCACCAGCUGUAGCCAAAAUACUGGGUAAAUACAACUGUGUGUCUGAACUCAAUUCAACAAGAGGUAGUGAAAAAAAUCUUCAAGGAAAGCACAGAGACUGGUGUACAGUUCACUUUUGUACUGUAGAAAACCUCAGGCAUUUUAAAUUAUAAGUAUAUAGCAAGCAUUAUAAAGAAAAGUGCAAGGCAUGAUAUGAAAGCCUGUUAUGGUUAUACAAUUUGUUUUGUUUAAAGAAUUGCUACAGUGAGAUCAGAAAUUUGUAUUAUUUUUAUAUUUGUUCUACAUUUGUCUGCGUUUGUGUUUUGAUGUUUAUUUUCAUAUUCUGGAGAAACUGAUAAAUGUCAGAGGUUCUAACACCGUGAUGCUUGAAUAAAUGUCUUACACCAUAUUUUGAAUUAAUUCAGACCUUUUGUGCAUUUCUUUUUGUCUUGAUACAUUUUUUCCAUUAUUCCAAUUUUGGGGAGCGUGGUAGCAAUUUGAUUGACUUUCAGCCAUUUAUGGCCAUGAUGUGCUAUGUAUAUUUUAUUGCUUUUAUUACACUGUAGGUUAUGUCAUUUUUAUGUAUGAAACAUAAGCUUUUAGCUAAAUGUACAGUAUAUAUUUCAUUGUGCUGGGUGCAAUUCACUUGAGUUGAGACAUUGUCUUCAAGAAAUGUGUUACAUUUUAUAAUCUGAUUUCACUUAUGUGUAUACUAAGGCACCAAUAACUGUUUCAGAUGUUAGGUAGAUGUAUUUAUGAUAUUUCGCAAAGAUUUUAUCUUGCCAGAAUGAACAUAGUAGUUUCUACAAGCAAAAACAGCAGCACCAUAUAAUCGUUUUUUGUGUUACUCACAUAUAUGUACAUUUCUGGCUGGUCUUUUGUCUCACCCUGUAAAUGAAACCACUUUCUCAUACUAGUUCUGUAAGUUUCCCAACGUGUCCUUGUAAAGUCGACAACGUCUUCACUUUGGACAGAUAAUAGAUGAAUAUAGCAUCAUUUCGUUCCUUUUUAAUGCACUUUUGAAUGCUGUUUUCUUUUUUCCUGUUCUUUUGUUCCUCUUCGCUUGUCUCGAUGGUAUUCGCGCUCGUCGCCAUGUUUGUGUAUUUCUGAAACUAUGGGAACGAGACUCGCCUCGUAUUGGUCCACGUGACAAAAAUUGCUUCACCCCUCUGCAUAUUCGACUGCGCGUGUUCAUGUAUCACUACGCCGCACUACGCCGCACAAAGGAACUACUUCGACACUGAAACACUAAUUACUAAAAAUCGAUAGGAUGGCAUGAGUAGAUAUUUUUUCUUAGUUCUUACUAUCAAUAGAGCUAUUUUAUGAAUCACAGUGUAUGUUGCCCCACUGAAAUGGAACGAGAUUCACUUUCUAGGCACUUUUUCCUCUGUGGCAAUACAGCCCUGAGGCUUCAGCCUCACUAUGCCUCAUGAUUUAUCCAAGUAAGACAAUGCUGGAUAUCUUUUCACGGUAUCAUAACUAAUGUAAUCCAGACGUCAGUUAUGCACAUUGCAGUUGCUUAUUGCAUAAAAAGUUAUCGAAAAAUGAAAUUGAGGGCGAAGUAUAAAUCACGUCUAGAAAUAGCCCGAAUCCCAACGUUGAAAUGAAGCAUAAAUUUAGGAUAGACGUCUAAUAUGGGUCUUUUGCUCAGUGAAAGAGUCGCUGCCAUUUUCAACGCCGAUUUACAGAGCUUCUACCUCAAAAGAGCCUACCGACAGGUUUAUUUGUAACGCUGUAAUAACCCAACAUAGAAAUACACAAAAAAAGAAAAACUCAACCUGUCAGAAAGUGUUGUAGUGGGCAUCUGGUAAUGACAAUGAAGUGUUAGCAAAUAUAUAUAUAUGUAAAUAUAUAUAUUUAUAUGUAUACUAUUGCAUUGUCACGUGUUCAUUAGGUAAGGAGGUGUGUUACAUUGUGACGUGUUCAUCAGCACAGUGUGUGAUUGGCUGGGGUGCGUGCUUAAGAGUUCAGUGUCUUUAAAACAGAACUGUAAAGCUACACCAAUUCAGUAUCUGUAAAACAGAACUGUGAAGCUGCACCUACGAAGAACAACGGUGGAAACUACAGUAAGUACAAUUUUUCUCCGUGUUGCUUAAGUGUUAUCUAAAUGGAUGAUGUGCUAUUGAUGUAAUGUUGCAAACAUGUUUUUUUUUAUUUUGCAGAUGGUCUCACCUGUAAAACUUCCAGCUGGUGCUACUGAAAAUUCAGACGUAAGGGAGAUCAGACUCCGUUUUCAGGUUAUGUCGGUGAGUACAUGGAGAACACAAACUAAUUAUGUGGAUUCUACUUUAUAGUUACACGACUAAAGUAGUGAAUUAAAAUUAUUUGGAUUGGAUUAGAGAAUGAAGUUCUUAUGCAAAGUUUGUGUUUGGCAAUUAAAAAGUUGUACGGGAUUUGAUUUGACUGUUAUCAUGUGUUGUGGUGUAUUAUCUAGUGACGUGAAGAUAGUUUUAUAGGGAGAGAAUUUUUGAAUAUAUAUAGUGAUAGGUAUUCCGGUAUUAAGGACAUGAUGAAGAAGAAUGUUUUUGUAUGAACACAGUAAAACGAAAUUUCUUUGUUAUUACGUAGGUAGCAGCUGCAUUGCUCACUAUAGAGAUGUAUGUGCAUCAGAGCACAAAUUCUGUAGAUGUAGGAGUUACAUUAAAUGAAUUGCUUGUUAAUUAUGUGUGUAUUAUUGUUCUGAUGAAAGUUAAUGUAAGAUUUGUGGUUAAAUGUGUGUGCUGUUGUGGAGCAUCUUGAAAACUUAAACAAUAUGCAACUGGACUGUGUAGAAUUCAGAAAACAUUGGCCUCUUAUCCAAGAAGCUUCGCUAUUUCAUAAUUGCUAGUGUGAAUGUGUGUGUUUUACUGAAAGGGCACAGAAAACAACUGGGAGGUGUUGGGUCGUCAACUCUGGGUGUGUCCCCUUUUAAUUUAAUUGUUAACCUGAAAGAGUUAACAACUUAGAGGAAGCCCUCAAUGACCACACCCAGGGUAUUUCCAAUGACCACACCCAGGGUAUUUAAUUCCAGGUGGAGUCUGAAUGUUAUGUCCUAAAGUGGUUUUUAGGUUCAAAUGAGCAUAAUUUGUGUUUUUGGUGAUGUAGUUAUGAUUAAUUAUUCCUGUCUGUUUUUUGUUUCAGUAUGCAAUAAAGGACGAAACCCUAGACAGGGUGGCCCUUUAUCAUGAAAGUAUGGCGUGCCAUACUUUUGUACUCAACACGACAGCAAGGAUGGCACGCCGACUAAAAGCAGCAGAAGAACGCUCUGCUUAUCUGGAAAGAGCAAUAAAAUCUCAAAAUGAGGAAAUUGCACGCUUAAAAGAAACCAACCUCACUCUAGGAAAGCAGUUGGAGGCAGCCCAAGUGGGUCUUAACAGCAUGUGUAAGUAUUUAUCAGUCAUGUUUGUCUUUAUAUAGGUGAAAAUUAUAAUGUGUUAUUAAACACGUUGAAUUAAUGUAAUAUGUAAUUCAUUUAUUGUAGUGGUAAUUGUUGUAUUUUUAUGUGUGUAAUUUGUUUUUGACUGUUUUGAAUCAUAUGAAUUUUGUUGUGUAUGUGUUGUGAUGUAUGUGGUCAGUUUAUCAAUAAUUGAUUAAGUGUUGUUUUAAAUGUGUUUAGGUGAAGCUGUUGGUUUUUUUGAAGAUGAAGACAGGGCUGGUGAGGGUGCCAGCAAUAUCUCAGGAUUGAAAAGUAAGUAUGUGGCAUUGUUUGUAAUUAGAAAGAUGAAGAAAGCGAUAGAAUUCAAAAUGCGGGGACAACAAUAAGGUUAUGUGUGUGUGUUCAUUUUACACAUGUGGGAAUGUUGCAUGUCCUGGUCUUAUGUAAACUGAAAGUGAUAUUGUAAAACAUUAUUAACAUUGAUUUGAAUCAUUUUUAGGUGUACCACCAGUGGAAGCAGCAGACACAGACCUCACACCAGCUGAGAAAGCAAUUGCUGGUGUCCUUGAAGUAGUAGAGGAGGGGUGCACAUUACAAGAUAACUGUGACUCUGAAGAAGUGGGAGACAUGUCUUUUUUUAGAUCCAUUGUAGUUAAUUGCUGAUUAUGUGUGAUUUUAUGUUUAUUGUGUGUGGUCGUGUGGGUGAUUUUAUGUUUAUUGUGUGUAAAUGUUGUAAUAUAUCAUAGUUACUGACAUUAUUAGAAGUUCAGUUUGUGGCUGUUGCCUGUAUUUCCUGUAUAUUACAGUGUUUUAAUUAUGUAAAUAAAGGGUUGUUCUGUAACCCUUAAGGACCCCUUAAAAUUUACUGACACUUGCUACACUCGUGGCCAAACAUUCAUAUUUCUUUUUACUUUCAAGCAUUAUAUCUUGUCAACAACUUCAGGCCUAUCCAUACAUAUAAAGGUUAUUUAAAAUAUAUAUUUUUUAGGUAUUUAGUGUCUUUUGUCGUGAGAACCCCUAAUUUUUUUAAUGAGAAAAACUAAAAAUAUGCAAUAAUUCCAAAAAUGAGGUGCAAAGUGAAAGAUUUUGGAUAAAGAUAUAACAGCCCUGACUAUGUCAACAACUGAUAAAAAUAAUGAUUGUAAUGCAUAAUUAUUAGUGCACAAUGACAGUUUCCAGUAUAAAGUUUAUAAACUUAUAAAAGUGCCGUAAAAAAUUAUACAUGCCUUUUUUUUUGCUUUAAAUCAUUAUAUCAUGUUAACAACUUCAGACCUAUCCAUAGAUGUAAAGUUUAUUUAAAAUAUAGAUAUAAUUUUUUUUAGGUUUUAGUCAUUUUUGUCUAGCAAACCCCUGAUAUUUUUAAUUGGAAAAACACAAAAUAUGCAAUAAUUCCUAAAAUGAGGUGCACAGUCUUAUAACAGUGCAGCAAAAACAUUAUACAUGCAUUUUUUUCUAAUUUAAAGCAUUAUAUGUAGUCAACAACUUCAGACCUAUCCAUAGAUAUCAAGUUUAUUAAAAAAAAAAUUGUAGAUUUUUACGUUUUUAGUGCCUUUGUCGUGACAACCCCUGCUUUUUCACUGUGAAAAAAACAAACUAUGUGAUAUUUCCAAAAAUGAGGUGCAAAGUGAAAUAUCUGUGAUAAAGUUUUUUGAUAAAAAUAUUGAUUUAAAUGCAUAAUAAUGUUUUGCACAUAAGAGAUUCAAACUCCUCCUUCUCCUAUUUGUUUCCCCUUCUCAAAUUGCAUUAUCCCUCUAUGUCUGACAAAUAUUUCUCCCCUGAAUCCUCCUGGCUCAUAAAUGGCUACACAAAUAGUGCUCUGAGGUGCUUGAACCCCUGCCCUUUUUGACUUGUAUUAAACUUCCCUUUUUUAAAUUCUUUUAAUAACUCCUGUUUGAAAAGUUAAAAAAACAAAACAAAAACAUGGUUCAAAAACUCCACAGCAUUCUACCGUAUCCAUUUUCUUGUGAUACGUUUUUUUGUGUGAGAUGAGUCUGCCACUUCUCUGUCUCUUGCAGCUCCACACUGUCAUAGAACUACCUGAGACAGAGCAUGGUGCAUCAAUUCAGCACAGAGCAGAUCAUGUCAGAGAGGGAAUCCUGUACAAAAUAGAAAAUAAAACACCAGGUUUAUUUUCAAAACAAAAUGCAUCGUGUUUAUGGCGAAUCACAUUUUCCUCACUACAGGUCUAAAGUACAGGUUCCAGGUUUAGAAACAAAGUUUAUUGUGAGUUUGCUACUAUUGUGUGGGCUAACAAAUUGAUGAUAAUAAUAACAGUAAUAAAAAUAAUAAUGAUAAUAAUAAUAAUAAUCUUUUUGUAUGACAUGGACUUAUUGGGUCUGAAAUAAAGUUUGUAUACCAAUAAAUAGAUAGAUAGACAGAUAGACAGAUAGAUAGAUAGAUAGAUAGAUAGAUAGGAAGCUAGGUAGCUAGGUAGAUACUAAUUUCAGCAUGUAGGUAAUCUGUGUUUGAAAUAUUACCAUCUUGAUCAUGUCAUGUUGACAAUAGUUUGUUGUCACAAAAGAAAUGGCUAUUGGAUAUCACUAUCACCUACACAGGACAGUCGUUACCUUUCUAUUCGUACUUUUUCUUUAAAUUUUAGAUUAAUUUCCAUAUUGUAUAAACAACUGGAAAAAAACUUGAGCCCAUGCCCCUGUAUAAUCAUGUGCACGUCCCUGUUCUGGCUUCAAGGUGAAUCUUCACUGCUCAUGUUCUCCUCAGAAGCAGUCACCUCACUCCCCUCAGGUGACUGUACACAUGCAGCAACUGCCUGCUUUAGGUUUAUAUGGCGCUUCAUCGUUGUCUUUUGGAGAAAUGACCAGCCAAGUUGUGUUUGAAAUUUGAUUUUUUUCAGGGGCAAAAGGAAGCCUCUGCAUUCCUGUCAAUAUAGCGAUAGCAUGUUUUUGCAGGUACUAAAAAACAUACUGUGUGUGUGUGUGUGUGUGUGUGUGUGUGUGUGUAUCCUGCAGUACUCUGAGAAAAAUAAGAAGCAUGUUUCUGAUGAAAUUUUGAGGAUUCAUCUGACAGUCAGAAUGACUGAUCAUUCCCUUACCCUUUAGAUAUCUGUCUAUUUCUGUUUUUGUGUGAAAAUAAAGGAAUUCCUGGUCAAAAGGGCUCUGUUGAUGUUUUUUUGGUCUUAAUUCAUAUUCAAACCACUAUUUUAUAUCACUGCUAGUAGGACAAGGCCAUUUUAUGGUGUUUAGCUUUAUUAUUUCUAAUCAUUUUGCGAAGAAAUAAACCCAGGCCUUCACUAAAAUUUCCCUAAAACUUUAUGUAAGGACCUCUGGUUGUUAAAGGGCUUACAGCUAAAACUUAUUCUUCCUAAAUUUUACAGGUAAAAGCUGAGAUCAAUUAGAUCUUUUGUACAUCUCUUAUUUAACUUCUGCCCUGUUCAAAACUAGCAAAUGUUUCAUUGAAAAUAAUUUUUUAACCCUUUAAAUUCCCAUUUAAGACAUAAAGUCACUAAUAUAGCAAAAAUUGGAGCCUUUUAACUUUUUCUGUAGCAUCACAUUUAAUAGACAGCUCCCUUUGGCGCCACUCAGUGGCCAAAACUACUUUGUCUGCUGUAAAAUCAUAUUGAAUUAAUAUUUUUUCCAGAUUUUAUUUUGUACAUCUCUUAUUUUACUUCUGCCCUGUUCAGAACUAGCAAAUGUUUCAUUUAAAAUAAUGUUUUUAACCCAUUAAGAGCCCAUUUAAGACAUAGAGUCAAUAAUAUAGCAAAAAUUUGAGCCUUUUAACUUUUUCUGUAGCAUCAGAUUUAAUAGACAACUCCCUUUGGCGCCCCUCAGUGGCCAUAACUACUUUGUCUGCUGUUAAUAGACAACUCCCUUUGGCUCCACUCAGUGGCCAAAACUACCUGGUGUCGGUGGGACGAAAGCCUUAGGAGGAGUUAGCCACAUUCCAAUGUGUGCGAACAAGUGUCUAAAAAACAGACUCUGAGUGUGUGUGUGUGUGUGUCUGUGUGUGUGUGUAUCCUGCAGUACUCUGAGAAGAAUAAUAAGCAUAUUUCUGAGGUGAAUUUUGAAGAUUCAUCUGCGAGUCAGGAGGGCUGAUCAUUCCCUUACCCUUUAGAUGUCUGUCUAUGUCUGUUUUUGUGUGAUAAUGAAAGAAUCCCAACUCAAAAAGGCUCUGUUGAUGUUUUUUUUUUUGUUGUUCAUUCAUAUUCAAACAACUAUUUUAUAUCACUGCUAAUACGCCAAGACCAUUUUAUGGUGUUUAGCUUUAUUAUUUCUAUGCAUUUUGCAAGGAAAGAAACCCAGGCCUUCACUAAAAUUUCCAUAAACUUUAUAUAAGGACCUCUGGUUGUUAAAGGGAGUCAUUACUGCAAAAACAUAUUCUUCCUAAAUUUUGAAAGUCAAAGCUUAGAUCCAUUGGGUAUAAAUAGAAAAAGCAUUAAAAUAUGUUAGGAUUAUAGCAUAUAACAAAUGUGUGCCUUUCAGUGGCCAUAACUACUUUGUCUGCUGUUAAUAGAAAACUCCCUUGGCGCCACUCAGUGGCCAAAACGACUUUUAAGAAUGUGGAUUUUUGGGUCAUCUUUGGCGCCCCCUAGAACGUAAACCGUGGGGUGCAGUGUCAUGAUUUAUACAACUUUGAAUGGCCAUGGGGUGUAGCUUGGCCUGAGCAAAUGUGGUGCCGGUGGAACAAAAGCCUUCGGAGGAGUUAGCGAAAUUCCAAUGUGUGCGGAUCUGCAAAAAAUGCGAAAUAACCCUUUAACCGUACAUUUGACAGAUACGCCCGCAUUGACUUUUUUGUAGAUCUUAUUGAGUUACGUGUGUGUCAAUUUUUGUGUCAAUAUGACAAAGCGUACAGGCGUGACAGUCAAUAGUGUGAAUUUUCACCUUAGGGGGCGCUAUGGAGCCAGUUUGCAUUUUAUUGUUUGGGCGACUUCAGAAUAUCGAAUUUUUCACCAGGCCCGGUCGUCCAGUUCAAAGGGGAGGAAAAAGAAGAAAGAAAGAAAGAACUAGGGCCCCGUUGGGGCACUGGCGGGCCCGAGCCGUGUCGCGCCGCCCCCAGCGCGACCGCCUCCCCCUCCCGAUCGCGUCACACUCAAGGUCCAAAGAUGGUGUGCGCACCUGUCUUUGGUCAUUUCCCAUUAUAAUGAAUGGGAGGCACAGUUUCUACCAAAACGCUCGCUGCAGACAAACUACAUGUCCUAUUUGAAAAAACUCUGGACCAUGAGUGAGGGCACAAACACAGCUAGGACAUAUCCAAAUGGCAAGUUGCUCCUCCUUUUGGUUUUAGCGGGAGAGCAAUGCGUUUGAGCCAUUAAGCGAUGGGCUGGAAAAACUUGACUUUUUCUCCUGCCAUGGGGGGGGGGCGCUCUUUUGGGGAGAAAAAAUUCCUUCACAGAUGUGUUGAUGGCUGCACAUUGCAUCAUCCUAGAAAACUUGGAGGCCAGUGAGGACAAAAAUAAAAAGUUAUAAGACUUUUAAAAAUGUGGAUAUUUGGGUCAUCUUUGGCGCCCCCUAGAACCUAAAACCGUGGGGUGCAGCGUCAUGAUUUGUACAACUUUGAAUGGCCAUGGGGUGUAGAUUGGCCUGAGCAAAUUUGGUGUCAGUAGAACGAAAGCCUUAGGAGGAGUUAGCCACAUUCCAAUGUGUGCGAAUCGGCAAAAAAUGCAAGAUAGCCCUUUAACCGUACAUUUUACAGAUAUGUGCCCAUUGACUUUUUCGUAGAUCUCAUUGAGAUACACGUGUGUCAAAUUUUGUGUCAAUAUGACAAAGCGUAUAGGCGUGACACUGAACAAUGUGUAUUUUCACCUUAGGGGACAAGAAAAAAUGGACUUUUUUCUCCUGCCAUGGGGGGGGCGCUCUUUUGGGGAGUAAAAAUUCCUUCACAAAUGUGUUGAUGGCUGGACAUUGCAUCAUCCUAGAAAACUUGGAGGCCAAUGAGGACAAAAAUAAAAAGUUGUAAGAUUUUUAAGAAUGUGGAUUUGUGGGUUAUCUUUGGCGCCCCCUAGAACGUAAACCGUGGGGUGCAGCGUCAUGAUUUGUACAACUUUCAAUGGCCAUGGGGUGUAGAUUGGCCUGAGCAAAUGUAGUGCUGGUGGAACGAAAGCCUUCGGAGGAGUUAGCGAAAUUCCAAUGUGUGCGGAACGGCAAAAAAUGCGAAAUAACCCUUUAACCGUAAAUUUGACAGAUACGCCCGCACUGACUUUUUUGUAGAUCUUAUUGAGAUACAUGUGUGUGUCAAUUAUUGUGUCAAUAUGACAAAGCGUACAGGCGUGACAGUCAAUAGUGUGAAUUUUCACCUUUGGGGGCGCUAUUGAGCCAUUUUGCAUUUUCUUGUUUGGGCGACUUCAGAAUAUCGAAUUUUUCACCAGGCCCAGCCGUCCUGCCAAAUUUCAUGAGUUUUCGCCAGUGGGAAGUGGGCCAUUUUCCAGUUUAAAGCGGAGGAAAAAUAAUAACUAGGACCCCGUUGGGGCACUGGCGGGCCCGAGAGCUGUCGCGCCCCCGCCCCCAACGUGCUGCCUCCCCGUCCCAUUUGUGUCCUCUGACCAUCGCCCUCUCUGGUAACGCCCAUCACUGCAAAGACCCUUUUCCUUCAUCGGCGUUUGCUGUUCUUCCUGCCAG
Molecule: non-coding RNA, 56034 nt
Organism: Xyrichtys novacula (pearly razorfish)
Lineage: Eukaryota; Metazoa; Chordata; Actinopteri; Labriformes; Labridae
Source: the annotation of a GenBank genome assembly